UUUUUUUUUUUUUUUUUUUAAAAGGUGGUCGAAAACCGCACUUUCAGUGUAUGUCAUUUAGCACGAAAUUCAAAAGAGUUUAUUUUUGUCUCUCACUAGCUAGCGGCGCUAAUGGCCGUUGAAUUUCAAUCGUUAUAGCUUUUGAAAAAAAAUUGUAAAUCAACCACUUUAUUAUAUCUUUUGUCAAAUCACCCCCUUUCACUGAAUCACAACCGUCCAAUUUUAACAUGAUCAACUCGAUGAAGAUUGUACGGCUGGUGUUAUUGCUAUCGUCAACAAAAUAUUCUUCCACAAUAAAUGAUCUUUUUUUUUUGUUUAUACACAGUUUUCCCAAAAACUUCCUAGGUCCAAAGGACUAAUCUGUGUCGUUGCGGCCCGAAUGUGAAAUCUAUAGUGGUCGAGAAUCGAAUCCAAGUGGCGGUACUCACAGCUGUGAGCUCUUUACCACCAGAGAGCUAGACGUCCCGGUUCAAUAAAUGAUCUUUGCUCUGACACAUCACUUAAAGUCCAUUAUUCUUCUUCUUUGAUUUACCACAGUUAUUAUACCAUAGCUACUGUGUAUUUGUGCGUAAUCUCAGCUGUACGGACGAACAUUCUUGCUUCUGAAGCUCAGAUUCUUUCUCUCUCUCUCUCUAUAUAGAGUUGUCUUCUUCUGUUUGAUAUCUUUUGUCCUGGACCUCGCUUCAGAAGUGGAGGUUCAUCUUCAACUUGGACUUCACUUUGUUUCUUACUAAAAUGAGGUGAUUUACCAUUUUAAGUAGCUAAUGGCACCUGCUUUUAGUAAAUCAUUACUCAUUUUAAUCAUUUCCUUAAAAAGUAUCAUUAGUAAUAGUACUCUAAAAGAAGCUGAUUAGUUAAGAAAAAAAUAGCAUCUUUGUUUUUGUGGGUGUUCCUAAUCUUCAUUGUACAGUGAAAAAUUAUUUCUUCUUGUCCCUUUCUGUAUAAUUUUCUUAAUUAAUAUUUCAAAAUAUAGAGAAUGGCUUCCAUGAUUGCAUUGGUUGUUCUUGCAGGUUCUUGGUAGUUGGUGAUGAAGAAACAAAAAUUACAUUAAGUCAUUGUUCUUUAAAAUAUUUGUCUCUCUUUCUAUUUAAAAGAUAAUGCCAGUCUUCUUACCUAUCCUUAUGAGGCUGUAAAAAAGUUAAUGCAUAGUUGAGGCAGGGACCAGAUGGUUGGUAUAUUUAUUAAUAUCACCUGAAUGAGAAGAAGAAACUUGUUUUCAUAGCAACAAAGAAGGAAAAAAAACUUGGGUUUGUUCUCUCUUCAGAAAAAGAAGCAAUAGAAAUUUCAAUAGAGAAGAAGAAAGGAUGAUGCUAAUGAGAAGAAGGUUGGGUUGCCGCAGCAGGGAGAUGGAGAUGCGCAUUGAUUUUGAUGAACAAGAUAGUAAGUACUACCCUCUCCACCCUUAUUAUAUCAUUCUUACACUAACCAUUAUUCCUUGAAGUCUGAAUCUUAGUUGAUAUGAAUUACAAACUAGAAGAAAAACUAAAACCUUACCUUUAUUUUAGCUUUUAGGUGUUUCAAUUGUAGGUGUCUACUGAUAUGGAAUGUUUAAGACUAUAACAGUUGGGUAUAGUUUUCAAAUACAAGUGAGUGGCCACUCCAUUUGUGUCUUGUGGCCGGUUUAGGAUUGGUAUGGGACCAAUGUCAGACUCUUAAAUCGGACGUGAAUUAUGUAGCUUUCCACGAUACAUCAGUGCAUACAUUCAAUUUGAUUCAAGAACAUUUUGUGGGAUUCAGUGUCCUACUUUCUUUGGAAGUGGGGGUUAAGUAGUAGUGAGGGUCCUUUAAGUUUUCUCAUUUGUUUAAAGAUCAUUGAUUAUAUUUAUUCAGAAACUGCCGAGAGUAGGUAGUUAAUUGGUUUCACAUGGUCACUAAGACUAAAUAAUUCAUAAAAGAAAAUUCAAAUUGAAGUAAAAUGUGGUUACAUAAAUAACUCCACAAGGAAGAAGAAUCCAUAUCCUCUUUCAAAUUUCAAGGGAAGAUAUAAGCAUUAAUUAAAAUCAAAACACUAUUUUUGUUUGAUUAAACAAUCUUUGUUACAUGCUAUGGAAGUUUGAAAAAUGUUAUGCCUCUCGACAAGUGAUUAAAAGUCUUGGUGGUGGGUCUGUCUAGAACUUGCACUACAUAGGGAUAUUAAUUCAUUGUUUUUAGUUAUUAAAGACUUUUAGAAUCUUUCUAAGAUGAUAUUUUACUAUUCAUUUUAGAACUAAUAAUGACACAUUAACAUAAUGUUAAUAUAAGCCCACAAUUAUAUAUGUUCCUUUUUAUUUUCACACAUUUUAAGUAUAUAAUGUUUAUUUUUAUCAUAUUUAAUAUGCAAUCGAAUAACUAUACAUGGUGCAUCCUGUGCUUUAGCAUGAAUUUGUUAGCAGUACUUUUUUUAUAAAUUGAAGCUGGUUUACAGAUUUUGAAAAAUAAAAAUCUUAAGUGUUUUUCUAUUCAAGUUGGAUGUUUGUAACCUUAACUUUAAGUACUUGGCAAUACAUAGGUCGGUAACUUAUAGUGUAUAUAGCUGUAGGUUACAUACUACGUAGUUAUAUAUAAGUGAUGUCAUGAUAUCAAAUGUGAAUAAGAAAACUCUCCUUUACAACUGGUAAGUGUUCUUGACAGAUUUAGAGAACCCUCAACAUUUUUUGGAAACAGAAAGAAAGACAUAAUAAAAUUUUUGAGAUUUGAAAAAGAGACUUUCACUCUCCUAAAAAGUUUUCUCCCCCUUCUCUCUAGUCUAACUUUCCAUUAACGCCGCAUCUCUCUGCUCCGGUACUGGUGGUCCCUUAGACCAGCGUCGGAGGCUCCCGUUAGCUUCUUCCUCUUUUUGUUUGCUCCAUCGACUCCUCUCUUUCCUCGUUCAGUCCUGCCUUAGCCCUGGUUUUGUCACGCUGCCUCAGGUCCUUCAUCUACUCGCGAUAGAUCCAGCGGCUAGGGCGUUAGCGUAGGCAGAUCUGGUGUGACGGCGACAAUUUGUGUGAGGGACUGUCGGUUGGGGUCGGAUACGAGGGUGGUCGGCGCCGUUUGUAUCUUCGCUGGAGCUCUCUCAGUUGAUUUGACUUGGUACCAUGGCGAGGUAGAGGAGAGCGUCUGGACCGGCGUCGAUCUUCUCUCACGCUUGUUCAAAUCGCUGGAGAUCCCUCUCAGUUACUUUUUCCCAGAUCUAGGGUUUCGACCUCGAGAGUUAGGGCGCGUGGAGUCAAGGUGCGACUUCUUCCCGGCGAAUCUUCAUUGCUGGGUCUCCUUCGAGUGGCUCCUGUUAGGUUUGUGCCUUAUGGCUGGGUUUAGGUCUCGGUUUCUUGGCUUCGGCCAUAUCCACUUUGCUCUCGGAAGAUCCUACUACUGGUUCUCAGAUGUGGGUGCGUGUGAGGAGCCUCUGUUCUCGGUGUUGUCGCCCGAGUUUAGUUGGUUUCUGUGGCAGCACGUGAAGAGUCACGAGACAGCAUCCACGUCUCUUUGUUGGUCUCUGUCUUACGGAGGAAGGUUCUUGACUGUGGCAACUCGUCCGUCUCUCUCUCUCCACAAUAAAGUAUCAUCUGUAGGAGGUAAUGCUUCUUUGGAAGUGUUGGUCUGUUGAGUAUGGAUAGGAGUUAGUUUGGCAAUCGGUCCUCUUGCUAGUUUAAAGGUCGUUUUCUCCGGAGGAGGUGUGCCCGAUGUGUCCCAUUGCUCUAUAUGUGCGGUGGGUUAAAUGGGUGUAUACGGUCCUGGGGUUGGAGGAUUGGAGGCAGCAAUCUCCACUUCACCAUCCCGGACGACGGCACUGCCGGUCUGUGGACUCCUCCUCGUGUUGCUGGUGAGGCGAUUUUGAACGGACUUGCGGUUCCGUGAUGGGUUUCUUUGUGUUAGUGUUGAUGAUUGAGUCUCUUGGAAGCUGUAGGCCUUUGCCCGGUGCUUCAAGGUUUAGGGGUGCCUUUCUCUCCGGGAGCUCGCGGCAACCGGGAGCUUAGUCCGCUCAUACCUCUGCUUUGGACCAUCGACACUACGCUACUUCCGGUCCUUCUCUUUGAUCUUUCUUCUUCCAUUUAGAAUCAGAAUUUCUUAUAAGUGCUCUGUUUAGUUUAAUUAUUGUUCUUCCGCUACUUGUCUUCUUCGUUCUUCCGUAUAAAAUUAAAAAUUUGGUAUAAUAAAUUUAACAUUUUACUAAAAAAUUUUUUUUUUUUUUGAGAUUUAUAAAAAAAAAAAGAUAUCUAGGAUGUGUCAAUCAUAAAGUCCAUGGCAUGCUUCAGGACCUUUUUGUGUUUCUUUUAAGAUAAAAUACACGAAAGUUGUUUACAUCUAUAUAUAUAAGGGCUUAUUUGCCAAAUAACCAAAAAAAAUGAAAAAUUAGAUUUUGGGAGAGAGAGUAGAGAGAGAUAGGAAGAGAAAGUAGAAGAGAGGAGAGGAUUUUGGUUAGUUAGUGUAUUUAAUUUUUUUUCAUGUAUAUAGGGUGCAAUUUCCCUAUAUAUAAAGUAGAGUUCCCUCUCUCCAGGGCCCUCCACGUCAGAUUCCACCUAAGAAAUUCAGGUCUUCUGGUGUCAACACGUGUCUUCCUACACUUCGGGUGAUUUCGCCAUUAACUUCAACCAUUAUUUCUUUCUUAAAAGCAUAGAACUGACAAAAUCACAGAGCACUCUUAGACUUCCCUUAUUAUUAAUGUAUUCAUUAGAUUCUUCAAGUUUCCUUUACAGCUUCUCCAAUUCGUUUCUUUUUGCUUUUGGAUUUUCGAUUUUAUAAGAAUUCUUCAAUCCUCCGAUUUCUUUUGAAGCGCCUGAGACGAAGAAACUGGUGACAAACUAUGGAUACCUCCCGAGAGAUCCAACUUUCGUCUCCCUGUCAAGAAAGAAAACAAGUUAAUCUAGAAACAGACAUCUUUGCUUGGCCUGCGGAAUCUCCAUUUUCGGCAGCGGCGGCUCUGACCGGCUUGAUAAUAUCUAUUUUCUCCGGCCAUCUAUCGCGUAGGUGAAUAUCUCUUUUCUUUAGAUUAUAGAAUAAACUUCAAAAAAAAAUUGUUGUUUAUUAGGACAAAUCUGCUAUGUCCUCAUCUGAUAUCAACAUGUUUCUUUUCUCAUAUGUAAUGAUUUGAUGCAAGAGAUGUGAUCCAUUUCCCUGUUUGCCGGUGUGAGUUAGACCCUGGAGUGGUUGGUUCUGGAAGCCAUGAGUCUUUGCACAACACGGUUACAAUUACUAUUCAAGACUUAAACUAUGAAGAAGUGAAUCCUCCUUCCACUAGUUCAAGCAAAAGGUUCCCUGAAGCCGCCUCGGCUUGGCCAUUCUCUAGGUCACAUUCUACAGGUCGUUUUAUGGUUAAGACCAAAAGAGAACAUUACCAAUUCAAAGAAAAUUAUCCUACCACUAGUUCAAGCAAAAGGCUUAUGGAAGCAUCGGCUUGCCGAUUUUCGAGGUCACAUUCUACUGGACAUUUCAUGGUUAAGACGAUGGAUAAGACCAAAGGAAAACAUUACCAGACAGGAAGCAGUGUCAUGUUUGAAGAAAACAAUCCUACAACUAGCUCAAGCAAAAGGCUUAUGGAAGCCUCGGCUUGGCGAUUUUCGAGGUCAUAUUCUACAGGACAGUUCAUGGGUAAGACGAGGGAUGUCACUAUGAAGAUCAAAGGAAGACAUUACCAAACAGGAAGCUGUGCCUCGUUUGAUGAACUUACUAGGUAUGAUGAAGCUACAGGAUACGGUAUGGCUUGGUGAUUCAUCAUUACAAUUAGCAUUAUUUGAAGUCUAGUUUGCGAAUAAAUUUCUAUUUUUUGUGUGUUCUUGAUAGCAGUAGAUAUUCAAAAACUUGUAAUAAAGAUGUGUAGUGAAGAAUAAACUGAGAAAGAAUAAGAGUCAUCACUCCACAGGUUUUUCUUCAGAGGCUUCUAUUGUGUCAUCACCAUCUUCAGGUUCUUCUUCAGAAGUAUUGUUGUCUUCUAUUGUGUUACUAUCUUCAGAUUCACCAGCGCUUCUCAAGCUAAACUUUAGACUGAUGGGUCUGCCCAUUAGCUCCUACAGGCAAACAAAACAGUAAUGAACUCUCUCAAUAUACUUAUCGGUCUAGGUGGCACCUAUGCGCCCAAUUAGUCCGUAAAUUGGAUCUAAACAAAACAAUUUUUUUUAAAAAAAUCGGUCUAGACUUCCAAAAAAUUGUCCUAAGUACCCGCCUAUUCAAUAUUUUUUUAUAAGUCUUUCUAAUCACUGCCUAACAAUUUCUUGAACAUUGUUUAAGAGAAAGAUAGCAAACUUUAUACCUUCCCGUCCAAUUUAGAGAUUGCAUCCUCAGCUUCUUCUCUAGUAGGGAACGAGACAAAGCCAUAGCCAGAAGCUCUUCCUCCAGGGUCUGCGAAAACAACACGAGCUGAAACAAGGUUGAAGUCUGCAGCAGUGAAGAACUCACGGAGAUGGGUUGAUCUCGCUUUCCAAGCGAGGUUAGACACGUAGAGUUUGUGACGAGUUUCUUGAGUAGAAGGAGGAAGAGCUUUAGGAGGUUUCACGGUAGGCUUCUUGAACCUUUUUGCAAAGCUUACCCUUAUGAUCCUCCCCGAGACUUGCUGAUAAACAAAGUAACAUAUAAUCAAAAGAACACACAAAACAAAACAAGACAAGACAGAAGAAAACAUUUGAUAUAUAACUUACGAAAGAAUCGAACUUUUCAACAGCGGAUUGAGCUUCUUCUCCAGAAGACAUUGUUACGAAAGCGAAACCUCUGUUCUUCCCAUCUUUUUGCUUUAUGAUCUGAUAAUAAAGUUUCAAACUUUAAUAAACAAGAACAGAACUUGUACGAGUUCAAGAAAUAGAAACAAGAACCUCGACGCUGGAGACAGUCCCGCAUUGUCCGAAGAGCUGGGAAAUGUCGUUGACACUCAUGGACCAAGGGAGAUUGAAUACAAAGAGCUUCCUUUUGAGAUUCUCCUUCUGGGUUUCUUCGGUCGGAGGAGAUGCUUCUUCCUCCGUGACGGAAGAGCAUACGGAGACGAGCCGCCGAGAGUUAUUAUCGCCGCCGGCGCGAAGAGGAGUACUGAGAGGGAAGACGGAAGUGAGGUUACUUGGAAUUUGAGUACUUAAGGAGGUGGGUUUAGUUUGCCUAGAGAAGAGAUGAGGUUUUGAGGAUGAAGAAGAAGCGAAGGAGAGGAUGGAGAGAGCAGCUUCGAGAACCGCCAUUGCUAACUUCUGCAGCCAAUAGGAGUGGAUAGACCGAAACAAAAGGAUAGUUUUUUCUUCUGUACCGGUUUGGUUUUUUUCUUUGUACCAAAAGCCCAUUAAUUAUAUAUAUCUAAGCAUUUAAAAGGCCCAAUAAAAGCCCAAAUAAUUAGGGCGUCUUCUUCGUCUCAACUGAUUCAUAUAUAUAUAUAUAUAUAUAUAUAUAUAUAUAACACAACCACAUAUAUAUAUAGUGUAUUUUUAAUAUUUAUAUAUAUAUAUAUAUUAAAUAAUUAUUUAAUAUAUUUCUAAACACAAUCAUUUAAGAAUUUAUAAUGAAUAAUUUUAUUUUAUUUUUUGAUCCGUCAACUGUUACAACCCUAUUUUUAAAAUAUAACUCAUGUGUUCGUGCAAAUAUAAAAUUUAAAACCAAGAUUAACCGAAAAUCGAACCAAUUUUUUGGUUCAUUUCGGUGUGGGAUUGUAGAUGAACUGAAUAAACCGAAAAUACCCAAACCUCAUGCCUACUUUGGAGAGGAUUCACUCAUUCACCCUUUCAGACAGAUUAUGUACUUCCGCCGACCGACUUCUCUUUGGUCGUUAUUGCCUUAUAGGAACUUAAAAGUGAUUACGCCGAAAAAAGGAACUCAAGAGUGAUUUUGUCGUCAUUUACGAUAUUUUUUCUUCCGCAGUUUUAAUGAUAUUUUUGAAGUUUAAAUAGAUGUGAUAUCUCUGAGCCAUUCUUAAAGUGUGUUAAUCCAAUUAUAUAUGAAAGUAGGCCUAAUUUAAAAAUAGUUUGUAAAAAUUCAGAUGGCCUGCAUGACGUAUAUACAGCAAAAUCUAACUACUGUUACUCUUAUUCUUAUUCUUAGUUCUUACUGUAAUUUACAUAUAUGAUAUAGAUCAAUGAUAGUAGUUUACAGUGGAUAUAACCACCAAACAUGUUUCGUAAGAACGAAAAUAUGCAUCCAAUAAAGUUUGUGAAAGUGCAUAAUAUUAUAUAUACUUUUUUACGAAGAGAAAGUGAACAAUAAUAUAAUCACGUUCAACUUUGCUCUUCAUUGUUGGGUCUCCUUCGAGUGGCUCCUGUUAGGUUUGUGCCUUAUGGCUGGGUUUAGGUCUCGGUUUCUUGUCUUCGGCCAUAUCCACUUUGCUCUCGGAAGAUCCUACUACUGGUUCUCAGAUGUGGGUGCGUGUGAGGAGCCUCUGUUCUCGGUGUUGUCGCCCGAGUUUAGUUGGUUUCUGUGGCAGCACGUGAAGAGUCACGAGACAGCAUCCACGUCUCUUUGUUGGUCUCUGUCUUACGGAGGAAGGUUCUUGACUGUGGCAACUCGUCCGUCUCUCUCUCUCCACAAUAAAGUAUCAUCUGUAGGAGGUAAUGCUUCUUUGGAAGUGUUGGUCUGUUGAGUAUGGAUAGGAGUUAGUUUGGCAAUCGGUCCUCUUGCUAGUUUAAAGGUCGUUUUCUCCGGAGGAGGUGUGCCCGAUGUGUCCCAUUGCUCUAUAUGUGCGGUGGGUUAAAUGGGUGUAUACGGUCCUGGGGUUGGAGGAUUGGAGGCAGCAAUCUCCACUUCACCAUCCCGGACGACGGCACUGCCGGUCUGUGGACUCCUCCUCGUGUUGCUGGUGAGGCGAUUUUGAACGGACUUGCGGUUCCGUGAUGGGUUUCUUUGUGUUAGUGUUGAUGAUUGAGUCUCUUGGAAGCUGUAGGCCUUUGCCCGGUGCUUCAAGGUUUAGGGGUGCCUUUCUCUCCGGGAGCUCGCGGCAACCGGGAGCUUAGUCCGCUCAUACCUCUGCUUUGGACCAUCGACACUACGCUACUUCCGGUCCUUCUCUUUGAUCUUUCUUCUUCCAUUUAGAAUCAGAAUUUCUUAUAAGUGCUCUGUUUAGUUUAAUUAUUGUUCUUCCGCUACUUGUCUUCUUCGUUCUUCCGUAUAAAAUUAAAAAUUUGGUAUAAUAAAUUUAACAUUUUACUAAAAAAUUUUUUUUUUUUUUGAGAUUUAUAAAAAAAAAAAGAUAUCUAGGAUGUGUCAAUCAUAAAGUCCAUGGCAUGCUUCAGGACCUUUUUGUGUUUCUUUUAAGAUAAAAUACACGAAAGUUGUUUACAUCUAUAUAUAUAAGGGCUUAUUUGCCAAAUAACCAAAAAAAAUGAAAAAUUAGAUUUUGGGAGAGAGAGUAGAGAGAGAUAGGAAGAGAAAGUAGAAGAGAGGAGAGGAUUUUGGUUAGUUAGUGUAUUUAAUUUUUUUUCAUGUAUAUAGGGUGCAAUUUCCCUAUAUAUAAAGUAGAGUUCCCUCUCUCCAGGGCCCUCCACGUCAGAUUCCACCUAAGAAAUUCAGGUCUUCUGGUGUCAACACGUGUCUUCCUACACUUCGGGUGAUUUCGCCAUUAACUUCAACCAUUAUUUCUUUCUUAAAAGCAUAGAACUGACAAAAUCACAGAGCACUCUUAGACUUCCCUUAUUAUUAAUGUAUUCAUUAGAUUCUUCAAGUUUCCUUUACAGCUUCUCCAAUUCGUUUCUUUUUGCUUUUGGAUUUUCGAUUUUAUAAGAAUUCUUCAAUCCUCCGAUUUCUUUUGAAGCGCCUGAGACGAAGAAACUGGUGACAAACUAUGGAUACCUCCCGAGAGAUCCAACUUUCGUCUCCCUGUCAAGAAAGAAAACAAGUUAAUCUAGAAACAGACAUCUUUGCUUGGCCUGCGGAAUCUCCAUUUUCGGCAGCGGCGGCUCUGACCGGCUUGAUAAUAUCUAUUUUCUCCGGCCAUCUAUCGCGUAGGUGAAUAUCUCUUUUCUUUAGAUUAUAGAAUAAACUUCAAAAAAAAAUUGUUGUUUAUUAGGACAAAUCUGCUAUGUCCUCAUCUGAUAUCAACAUGUUUCUUUUCUCAUAUGUAAUGAUUUGAUGCAAGAGAUGUGAUCCAUUUCUAGGGUUUUCUGAUUCUUCGAUCUAAAGGAGACAAAACUGCUUAAAUCGGCAUGACGCUUCGGUUUGUAAAGGGUUUCGAUCACGUCCUUACACCUUCUUCCAUCAAUCUGAACAAAUUCUUCCAGAUUCAUCGCAUUAAAAAGGUAUGCUUUCAUUCUCUCCAAAUCAUCUACAUCUUUGAAUCACUUUUUUUUGCGAAGCAUAAAGAAUCAAUAUUCAGGAAGAUCGUCGAAGGAUUCAGACAUGGUGAAGAUCGCUCCUAGAAAUCCAGAAAGGUUGAAUCUUUGUAUCCUUUUAUGUAGUUUAUGUACCCAUUUUCAUUGACUCCAUAGGUGUCGUACCUUGAGAUUAAAAGUCUUUGAGAGAUUUAAGAAACAGUUCGAGAGUUCUCUGCAGAUGUAUGGAUCAUGUUUCUUAGUAAAAACCUUUAAUUGUUUGUUUUUGUUGUGUUUUUUGUUGUGUUCUGCUCAGGUUUAGUGUUCAACAUGUUCUUCUUUUUUUUUCUUACAGAACAGGAGAGAGACCAUGAUCAAGGAGAGAAUCAGAAACUGAGUCUAUAUUAAGCCUUUAGUCUAAAGACCCUACUUGCAGAUUAUCUGCUUCUGAUAGCUUACAAAGGUACACAUAUCUACCAUCUUAUGUACACACAAAAAAAAAUCUCUGCUCUGUUUGGUAUCGACUAUCUGAGUCACCCUUUGCUUAUAGUUAAAUGUAUGAUUAAUAAGAAGGCCAUUUUCUGCAUCCCAAGGAUCGGGUGACUCAUCAUCAUCAUUCCCUUACUUUCUUGAACUAAAUUGUUUCAUGAUAUCUCAUACUAAAGACUGUUGCAGAUAGAAUAAGCGGGUGUGUUCGAAUGCGCAUAGUGGCUUUGAUAGUUUCUGCCUUUAAGUUAUCUUCCCUUAAGUGUCGUUACUGUGCUUCAGUGUCAACUUAUAUCCUUUGUGGACACUCAGAUCUCUUUAUUUCCAUUCACGUUCUUAGUAAGACCUUAUUGUGUCUAAUUUAUGAGCUUCUUACUGAGGCUUUUCUGGACUUUAAGCUACUGAUGAAUCUCAUGUGUAUUUGUGCUUCUAAAAUUGGAAUGUAUUCCUCUUGAGUUUUUGUGAAUUGAUUUAAAUGUUAUUGGUCAUAAUUGGAUCGGUAUUACAUUGCCCUUCAACAAAUCGUAAUUCACAGUGUGAACAUACAUACGUUUGUGAACAUACAUACAUACGAAUUGUGAAGCAUUCAUAGUCUUCUCUAUUAUUCCAGCCUCCACAAUAAGACUUUCUCAAGUAAUGAAGUGUUACUAUCUUCUUUUUGCAGCUACAUACGUUUGAGUUGCUAUUAUAGUUAAUGUGCACAUUAAGAUAAUGCAGAGAUGAAUGUCUGAAUCUCAGUUUUCAGUUGCAAAAGCUGAGGAAGAUAAUGAUGAAAAGCAUAAACCAUCAACUCAGGCUCUCAGCUAUCAUAAUAUUUCUCAGGUCUUUCUCUGACUUUCUCUUUCUCUAUAUUUUUAAUUGUCCCAAAAUUUUUAGGUAAGAUAGACAAUGCUAUUCAUUCACUAAUUUUCCUGGUGCAUCUUUGAAGAAUCUUCUGAACACAUGUGUCCUUAUAUACUUCUACAGUGUUUAUUCUAAUGAUGGUCCUAAGCGAACAUACUUUAUUCUGGGAUUACAAAACUUGAUUUCCUAAAAUCUAUCUUCACUCUAAACUUGUGAAGAGUAUCACUCUAAACAGCAUAUUUUAUUUAUCUGUGUAGUACAUGGGAUUUCCGUUACGUCUGGUUUCAAUCGCUCUCUCUCUCUCUAUGUGUGAUCUAGCAUAUAUGUGUCGUAGCUGUAAUGUAUUGUAUGAUCUCUCAAAUAUUUCUGUAGUAAUGGACUUCACAUAUGGAAAAGAAUGCUGUUAUUAGUUGAGAACAUGUUAGUGUAAAUUUGGUUUCACCUGUUGACUUCAUCAACUGGUCUAACUAUUUUUAUUUGGUUUCAGUCUCAAUCCGUUCAUUCAUAGCAGGAAUUCAGAGUAGUUACCAAGACCUAAGCUUUUACCAGGCUUACAUGUUCAAAGCACCUAUGGUUACAGUCAAAAAUGGUUCUUCCUCUCGGUAUGGUCUCAUGCUCAACUGACAUUAGCCUCCCACUGUGUCAUGUAAGUCUCAUUACCCAAGCAUCUGAUAUAUUAGCUUAAACCUUACUGUCUUGAAACUCUCAUGAUUCACCUAUAAUAUUUUGGUUAAUAAUUGAAGGUAAGUUAUAAAUUGUGCUGACAAAAAAAGUUAAAAUUUCUUUAUUUGUUAUGAAGCUCUGUUUUUCUAUCCUCCAUUUCAUUUUUUGGUCUACAGAAACAGCUAUGUGGUAACAAUGCAGCCAGUAUCCGCAAUGUGUGAUUGGCAAGUUUGGGCAUACCUGCAAAUUUGUUCACUCCAUGAGCUCUCAUUCUUCUUCCUUAAGCUACAGCCCGAUGGUUUCUUCAGUCAUUGACAUGCCCCUCACACCUUACCCUCUUGAGUCCUCAUUGCUCAGCACAUUAGCACCCUCUUGAGUCCUCAUUGCUCAGAUGUGUGAUCUAGCAUAUAUGUGUCGUAGCUGUAAUGUAUUGUAUGAUCUCUCAAAUAUUUCUGUAGUAAUGGACUUCACAUAUGGAAAAGAAUGCUGUUAUUAGUUGAGAACAUGUUAGUGUCAAUUUGGUUUCACCUGUUGACUUCAUCAACUGGUCUAACUAUUUUUAUUUGGUUUCAGUCUCAAUCCUACCCUCUUGAGUCCUCAUUGCUCAGCACAUUAGCACCCUCUUGAGUCCUCAUUGCUCAGCACAUUAGCUCCAUCAUCAUCAUCCUCAGAUGAAAACGCACAGAGCUUCACUCUUCGAGCUCCAAGAAAACUCAAAACCACAACACAAGUGGUGGCUCUGAACCGUUGCUGCUGAAGUCUCUCCGUCUUCUUCUUUGACAACCAGCCAGAGCCAUUCUGAUCCUGCUAAGACCAAAAAGAAUACCCAGUUAGCAUUGAGUUUAAGACUUAGAAGUUAAAGAUACAAAGCUCAAAGGGGAGAACCUCACUCUACUUCUUCUAUUGUUCCUCUAUCGCUCUUUUCUUUUUAUCAAACUUGCAUGAACUGAGGACAUGAAAGAUGUCUAUAAACUAUAAACAUGUUUGGGACCAAGUAAGAUAGAUUGAACUAUAAUGAGUUUUUUUUUAAUAUAUGAAAAAAAGAAACUAAAAAUAUUUGUGUAUAGCUUUGAUAAAAAAACUGAUCAUUGUAAUUUUUUAUGCAUAGCUCUUGCAUUUCGUUAAGUUUCUUUCAUGAUCAAAAUUUGUGUAAUGUUUUACUACGAAUCUCUUUAACUUUAUACUCUUAAAUAGUAUGGCUAAAAAAAUACAGCAAAUAGAAAUAUAUGCAAAUUGUUUAAGAACAUCUGUAUAAAUACACUAUUAGGCGAGAGUGCACUGCACUAAAAUUAUAUACCGAUUGCUUGAUCAAUAAGUUAUUACUAAACCAAGAUGAAUAUAACAAAACCAAAAAAAUUUGAUCCCACAAUAUCCGGCUACUUAAAAACGUUAUACACGUUUGUCAAGCCCAAACAAGGCUACAUUAACAAACGUAAUAGUCCAAUAUCUCUAACGGCCCUUAAUUUGUUGAUAAAAUGUGCCACUUAUUACUUCAAACCGAAAAUACCGUGAUAUAUCGAAAUAUCAAAUGUUAUUGUAUCUAGAAAAUAUAAUUUUUUUAUAGAAAUUAUGUACUGGUUUAAAAAGGUCAACUAUAGUUUCAGCAAUGAUAUGAAAAUAGAAAAUAUAUAUAGUUUCAUAGUACGAACGAUAGACCAAUAUAAAAGAACCCGGCAAAAAAACACAUAAAACAAAAGAAAAAUUAGAUGAUUAAAACAAAUAGAUUAAAAUAUCCACACAACCAUAAUAAAAUAGAACUUAUCUCUAUUCAAUUUUGGAAAUUACCACAAAUACCAUAUUCACAGUACUAUUUAUUAUGUUUACACUAACUAAUUUUACCCCCACUUUUAAUGAAGAAUAAAAAACAUUUAUACCCUAAGGUUAACUAAUCUAAACUUAGGGUUUUGAGUUGAAGAGUGAGAUAGGUUUUUUGAAAUGUGAAAUUUAAGAUUCUAAAAAAUAUAUAAAUAAAUACUUAAAAUAUAUUUAAAUAUUUUAAAAAUAGUUUCAAACAUAAUUUUCAAAAAAGAAAUUCAAAAAAAAAAUCAAAAACAAUUAUUAGGAUAAUUUUAAAUAAAAAUAGUUUAUUAGUAUAAUUUGUAUAUAUAUUAUUACAUUUUCUGAAUUAUUUUUUUUCUAAUUUUGUAUCCUCUAAAAAUAGAGAACAAUGAAAGUUACUCUCAUCUUAAUUCAAACCAAAAAUAUUUAUUAAAAACAAUAAUAUGAUCUCAAAAUUAUUUUAUUGUUUGUUUUUCUAUAAUAUCAUUUCUAUAAUGAUUUUAAAUGCUUUAUAAAUUAAUAUAAAAUUAUAUAAAAUUGUUUUUAUUAUAACUUUCCGCCCGUAGGGCGGGCCGACCCUAGUAUUAUAUACAUUACAGAUUACUAACUACACAACGUACAUACUACAUACACACUGUAGCAUUCAUAUCAUCAUCUUAAAGGAAGGGUUCCUUCCAAUCCUUGAAUCAGAAAAGAGUAGCUAACAGCUAACUUUAUCACGGCAUGACUUCAACAGACUUGGAUUGUUGGAUCAACAGAAGUUUAAAAAGGACACCUCCUGCAGCAAAUGAGUCUCGAAGGUGUCUUUCACCCACUUUUUGUGAUUCUAUCUCACUCUGUUGAGCGGUAGGACUUCUAUGGGCUUAAGGAAAAAAAAAAUCACCAGCCUAAAAAACCCAACAGACACAUAAAUGCAUGAGAUAGAUAUCCAACGCUUUAAGAUAACAUUUAUUCAAUUUGCACUAUGGAAAUUCAUGUACAGUCAUUAAAAAUUGUGCUGAGCAAAGAUCAUGUAUAAUAGUAUAUUUUACAGAACCAGAAAGCUGUCAAAUAAGUUACAAACUAAAUCAUUCUCUCUGUAUAAUAACUAGGUCCGUGUCCGCCCUACGGGCGGAUAAUGUGGUGAUGUAUUUUUCUUUUUAGUUCAUAUAGAUAUGCAAUAUCAUUUGAUAAAUUUACCCUAAAGAACUUAAAAAGUUUGAACUUGGGAAGUAAGUAGUGAUCUUGUUAUCCUUUUAUUAAUGUUUUUUUGAUGAUUUCCUUUGGCCAAAAGCUAUAUUUACAACGCAUUUUUCAUGUAAGUUCAAUAUCUUGACAAAAUUUUAGAGGAAAGAAUUUUGAAUAUAUGAAAAGAGGGUGAAAAAGAAAUCAUACAUAUUCAUCUGAAGGGUUUGUGGUUUUAUUUAGAGAAGCAAAAAAAUCAUAAGAACGCAUGAACGGGUGCCUAUAAAUUUAAGGAUUUUAAAGUUAAAUAUAAUUAAAAAAAAAUUAAUUAAUUUUAUUUUUGUGUUAUAGAAUAGAAAAAAGGUUAUCAUGUUAAUGAUGCUAAUGAAUCUUGGAACAGCCGGAGUAUAGAGUCCAUUUUAAACAAUUAGUUUUAACCUAUAUGUUAAAAUAAUCAAGUUCUCACUAUGAAUCCCUUAGAUUGCAAGAAACCCAACUUUCUAUUUUAAAGUCCAAUUUUCUGCAAAGUGGAGAAAUACUAAUGUACCACAUAUAGAUGUUUAUAGUUUCACUCUAAAUUUUAAGCUGCAAAAGAGAAAUGAACUUACAUCCUUUAAAAAGAAGUAUCUACUAUAAUUUAAAUAAGAAGAAAAAUCAUUAAUCUUGUAAGUGUAACUAAUGAUAUGUUAGUUGUAUCCAUUAUUAGUCUUAUCACUUGCCCAAAUCAGAAUUUUAAGCAAAUGUAAUGUGUGGAUCGCAAUGCAUUGCAUUUAGUCGAUACUCGGCCCAUAUCAUAUACACGUAAAACAGUUAAAAAUGAUACAAAAUCAGAUUUAUUUCAUAACAUACGGCAAAGCCUAUAUACAAUAUACAGCACACUAAAAAGCCAAAAGCUUCAAUUAAAUUCGGAAAGCAUCACAACCAACAAACUAAAUCAUCAAACUCAAAGAAAGAAAUUAUUAAACAUAAAUUUAACCAACAAAGUUUAUAAGAGAGAUAGUUCAAUAUUGCAAAGAUAUAGUCUUAAAUUGGAAAGAAAGAAAGCAUAGACUCUUAGUCACCAUAAAUCCAUCACUUACACACAUCCUAGCCACAUUUGGCUCGCUUUGAAUCUUCUGCCUCAACAUUAUCAGCAGUCCUUUUCACCCUCUCACCACCAGAUUCUUCAAAGCGUGUGGAAGGACCAUCCUCAGCAACUCCAUUCUGCAAAGUUUUCUGGGCAUCUGGUACAGUCACAUUUUUUACAUUGCCUUCAAUUUCUGGAUCUUCUGGAAUGAGCACCUUUGUCACAGUCAAACUUUGGGUCUUGCAAGUCAAAUUGUGAGUUGAUACCUUCACAAUGAACUUGCGAGUCUGUCCUAUGGUAUUGAUCAGAGCUUGAGGCACCGGAACCAAGUGAUCAUCUCCCAUAUUCUCAUUGGCCUAACAUACAUUUAAACGAUUGUCACUAUAUAUAUCAAACUAUUUUGUGAAAAUACAGUUUCAAAUAACAAAGAUAUACAGGUUUGUAAUUACCUCGAAAUAACUAUCAACCAACUCAGAAGCUUUCUUGCCAGUCAACUCCUGACCAGCAUCACCAAGGAGCACAAAACACGCCUGAUCAUCAUUGUCAUACACAGAUAUCUUGGCUAGGUACCUGUGUCAUGAGCAGUUUUAUAAUUAAUGCAUUGAAGUAUGAGUAUAAGUAAAUCUGAACCACUUACUGUGCAACACCAACAAUAUCACUCUUCCCACAUUUUUUACACAUUAGGGUGGUAGGUCCUUUGGUUGCUUUAGUGUGGCACACACCACAACCUAUGUAAUACCAUCCUGAUCCGUGCACAACAUCACCAACUGUUGCUAUGCACUCAAACCAAGCAACCUGCAAAACGUUUUAAUAAUUAUAUUAGAAUCUGAGUCUAUCAUAAUGGGUGCGUUACUCAUUGGUAUGUACUACCUUGGCAGCUUCCUGCUUCAUAUAGGAGAAGAGCUCGCCUAUGGUCACUGUCUCAGUCUUAGUGACAAUUUCCGCAGCAACUCUGUCAGCAACAUCCAUGUUUGAGUUCAACCUGAAGACAACGUCCAAACAUCAGACAACAAUAGGAUAACUACGAACAAUAUCUAAACACACGAAUGCUUACCAAAUGAGAUAAUCUCGGGUUGCUUGAACAUCACUGUCCAGAAAUACCCGUGAUGAUGUCAUAGAGGAGAGAGUUAGGACAUCUAUAACAGAUCCAAUGUUAUAAUAAAAAUGCUAAAUUAUAAUGUAAAAUGAGAUGUAGAAUUACGUAUAUCUCUUAAGUCCUCACAAACUUUUUCAAAUGUCUUAUAGCUAAUAAGCCCAAAUUCAUUCAAGUGCAGUUCUAUUACUCAAAGCUAACUAAUCAGAUAAAAUCCAUUGACCAUCCUAUGUAACUUCUUAAAACAUAGGAAAAAGCUGAUGAUACGAACCUCUAAAACGUUUCGGGUUUAAGGUGGUGACCAAAAUAACACUUGCAGCUCUUCCAGAUGCUUUAAAUUUUCCACUAAAAUCAGAGGCAGCCUUGUCCCAGAGGUACAACUUCAUCACCGGACCACUUUAACAUCAAAAAAUGUUUGUUAAGAGUGUCAAUAUAUGAUUAUGAAAAAGAUAUAGAUUAGCUUACUCAUGUGUUUGAACAUGAAGCAAAACUCGGCGGGAUGAAGCUAUCUCGGCAUCAUCUAGCACGAGACUGUCAUUGAGAACUUGCCCAUUCACAAGCUUGAUGUGACCAACAUAAUCUGCAUAAUAAACAAUCAAACUUAGUGCUUUAUAUCUUAUAAACCCACCAUGAAACCUUAAUAUCUAAGAAUGUAUCAGAACAUUAUCCUAGCCAAACAAUGCUGAAUAUAUUAGUUUGAGUUAAACACAUCAUCUAAGGUUAGAUUAAACAUUAUACUAUAAAACAGUGAGAACUUACCAUAGAGAUCCCCUCUCAAGUCGCAGGCAGCAUCAAACUCCUCAUAUCCAUGGAACCGAAAACGGUCCUCAGGGAAACAAACCGAACUAUCCUCUAGAUCAGAGUGGACAGAAGACGAUGAGAAGGUGAUGGUGACACUUGGUUCAGCCACCCGAUACAGAGUCUUGUUAUUAGACCCGUAAAAACUGUUAAGCCUGUAAAUGCCACCAACUUUCAUGUGUGGCAGAUAAGUAUCUAUCCUCCCAGCUGGAAUGAAGCCCUGGAUAACAGUUUCCUGUUAUCAACAAUAGAGAAAUUAAAUUAGGAAGCUAGACAGGAACUCUUAGAAAAAUAAACACAAACAUUAAAGAUAUUCAAACCGCAAUGCAUCAACAACAGAAAUAAAGUUAUGGUUCUAUUACCAAUAGCAAAAACUUGGUACAAAUUCAUUAAAAGAACCAAAGAAUAGAACGCUAAGUUUGAAUAUAAACGAUUUAGUAGCAUCUCGACUAAACAGUUUUUUUAAACUAAACCGCAAAAGAGAGUUCAGUUUAUACCUCUUGGUCGAUGAGAAGCAUCUCGAGACCGAUAAGCAUCUUCGUCACAACAUUUCGAGCUUCCCAUAAAUGGAUCAACCGAAAUCUCAACUCGCAUCCAUGAGGUCCGAAUUUCACAUCCUUGAAAGACAUCACUUCCACAGCUUUGGCGGAGACAAUGGCUUUUCCCUUGGCGCGAGAGGAGACAGCGGCUUUGCCUCUAACGCCUAAAGAGACACCGGUCUUUGUACCUGCAGUGGAAUAUGAGCGUUGAAUUCAUCAAUGCGUUUAUAUUUUCUGUAGACUAAACUAUCAAUAUAAUAAAAAAAAAUAUUGUUCAUAUCAGUGUCUUCAAUCACGAAGCUCUAGACUCAAUAACUGUUCUGGUGAUCAAACGGACUCUAUGAUUUGAUAACAAAACGAACCACAAUAUAAAUAUAUAGUUUGUUCAUCUCAUUGUUUUAGAUCACAAAGCUUCAUACUCUAUUUUUUUUGGUAAUCAAACGGAAUAUAUAAUUUUGAUAACCAAAAGAUCAGGUUCUUACAGUCGGGGUUCUUCGAAUUAGGCACGCCGAUCGAGAGGCCGGAAGAAACACCGGUCUUGCCGCUGGGUUUGGUCAGACCGGAGGAGACAGACGCUUCGCUUUUGGUUUUCUUCGAGUGGGGAUCGCUGUUCGAGAGGCCAGAAGAGACAUAGGAUGUACCGGUGGGCUUAAUCGGUCCGGGAAAGGAGUCAGCAUCAACGCCUUUUGGUUUCUCCGACAGGGUUUCUCCGUUCGAACUCAUUGCAAUUGCGAUGUAGUAAUGAGACUGUAGAACAAAAUCUGAUCGAAAUAAAACUCAGAUCGAGAGUUUUAUAAACAAAAUCUGAAGGAGGAAAACAAAGUGAGUCCAUUAAUGAGAUUAAAGAGAGACAAAGUGGAGGAAGUAUUGAUGUUCGAGGAUGAAAUCAUGAAACUGAACAAAGAAGAGGAAGAGCAAAGGUUCCCGUAUCGAAGAAGGCGAGCUCGAGUAAUAUUAAUCCUGUGUUUCCGUCUGUCAAUUAUGGUGGGCUUUGUGGCCCAACAUCAUUUCACGAUACAUUUAAAAAAAAAAGGAAUUUUCGUAUCUCUGUCUAUCAUUUACGAUGGGUUUAAUGGCCCAACAUCAAUUCACGCCAGAUUUUUUUAAAAAAACAGGAAGUCCAGAUGACGUGUCAAAUAAACAACUUUCUAUUGGACGAUUUCAAUGUCCUACGUGGACAGGCUCUCUAAUCAGUAUAUGUUCCUUUUAUUACUUGUGUGAUAAGGCGAAGCAUCUAUAAAGACAGUACGUAAAAUGAUAACAUAUUACCUUGUCAAGAAGGAUCUUAUACUCCACAAGGUCAUUGUGAAAGCGCUGCAGCUUGUCAUUAUUAGCACUGAUUUUGGAAAUUUCAGUUUCUAUCUCUCCAAGAUUGACCUGAAAAGGCAAAAGAUGAAAUCAAAUAUAGGGAUGAAAAAAACGGGAAGCAAUGGCUGUCCCACAAAUUAGAAAACAAAAUCAAGCAUGUGGGUUCACCUCAACAACAUCCAAAUCAAUAUCAACUUCUUUGUCUAAAAACUCUCUUGGAGAAACUCCAAUCUUUGACAUUUGGUCUUUGAAGAAAUGUAUAUUUUGUGACAUCUCUCCACAUCUUUUAUCUUCAUACAUAUCAACAAUAAGUAAGGAGAUAAAUGUAAGAUAUACUUUCUUUCAACAUACAUAACAUCUGAAAGAGAUAUGAACAUACAUAAGAAACAAAUAUCCAUUAGAAAAGGCUCUUCUCAUAAUUAAGCUGAGAUCAAAAUGAAAAUAGGAAUCCACAAAGAUUGUUCCAAUGAUCAGAAAGCUCGAGCCAGAUUGCAAAAGAAAUCAAGGUUGAAAGAUAAACCUCAAAGAGAAACCGAUUACAAUGGAGAAUGAUAUAACUGGUAGAGAGAUGAUCAAAGAGAGCGGGAGAGCCUCCUAGAAUCUGAGGAGACGCACUUCGACGCUGGAGCUAAAACGGUGGGUCUCCAUAUCGGCGAGUAUCAGGGCGAAGAUCGCUAUAACAUUCGCUGAAAAAGUAAGAAAAAAAGUCAUUGAGCGGAAUGAAGUGAUUAGAAUUUGGCUAGGAAACUAACAUAUUUACAGUGGAGGAUUCAAGUGAAGGCUUCAAUGAGGGGAUUCAUUGAAUGAAAGAUCGUGUGAGUAGUGGGAAUUUGGUGUUAAUUUGAUCGUCAAUAAGGAUGCACGAAUCCAACAGACUUUGAUAGCAAUUCAAAAAAUCAAUGAAGAGUUGAAGAAGUCGAAUCGAACAGCCAAAUACGACGCCAUCGAACUGAAUUUAAUCGGGAUUCAUUCUGGCCGGUGUAAUACGACGCCAUCCAAACACGAAGAGGGAAUCAGAACUCCAUGGUUUCGCGUCUGUAGAAUUAGGGUUGGAGAAGAAAUCUAACUAUACGGGCCGCAAUAAAACAUCGAAAUCUAGAGUUCAAACACGUAAAUGCACAGAAAACCCAACAAACCUCAGAUUAAAUGAAACACUGAGUUUUGCUCACCUGGGACACGUGUCAUGCCCAAAGAGCUCGACUUUAUAAUAUGGCAUCUUAGGUGGCCUCACUAGGAGAGAUAAAACCUUCUUUUAUAUUGAUAGAUGAGCAAAGUACCGACUAGUGCUUCUCCUUGAACUAGAGAAUUAUCUUGGUUCGAUGCGUGCCACCUGAAGCUUCUCCGCUUUUUGUAUUUAGAGGGUCUUAAAACUAUUUGAGCAUGAGACUAUUGUAAAUGUAUUAUUAACAUGCACGCACUUAACUAGUCAGUACAUGCAACAUUUUUUUAAAAAUAUCAUCAGAACAUAGUCCUCAAGCUCUCUUUUUCUUGUAUCGGAUCUUGAUACUACAGCUAUGAAUGGUGACCAAGGAAUGAUGAGGAACAAUGCAUUCCUUAACAUUCCUAACAAUUUUUCCAUUCAUAUAGAAUAAUUUUUUCUUUUCAUUCCUCUCGUUUCUUUUUUGGUAGAGAAUUAUAGAAUAGAUUUUUUUCUCACUAAAUUUGAUAUGGAAUAAUUGUAAUAUCCUAAUAAAUCAACGUUAAAAAAAUGAUAUGGAAUAAGAAUUUCUCGUCAUUUCUAUAAUUUUAUUCGCAUCCAUUAUAACGGUAGAAAAUGAUUACCAGUAACUAUUUGUAGCAAAUCCAGCUUCUUUUUUAUUGAUCGACUUGUGAUUGCGGAGGCAUCCCCUUCUUCUUUGGGAACAACAACCCCAUCAACGAAGGCAUGUUUAUAUAUACACUAGGGGUUAAUUCGCGCUACGCGCGGAGCUAUUUUGAUUUUCAAAUGUUAACUAUAUAACUAUUAUUUUGGACGUUGUAUUCUAAAUUGUAUAUUUGUGUCUAAUUGCACAUAUUGUAUAUUUACACAUAUAUCCUUAGAUAAAACCAGAAAAAAAACUUUACAUUUUUCAGAUAGAUGUUUAAUGUAGUUUUUCAUUUUUUAUAUCAUAUAUUUACUUAUUAUUUAUAACUAAAUACUUAAAAAAUAUAAAUUUUUUUAUUAAGAAUAAUUCCACGUUUUGCUGAUGUAUAUUUACUUUUUUGACCAUCUAUAAAUAUAUAAUAAAAUAAAAAAAUAGAAUAAGUAAAUAUACAAUUAAGAAAUGAAAAAAAAAAACUAAAUUAAAGAUCUAUCUAAAAAAUCUAUAGUUUAGUAAAUAAUAACUCAAUCCACAAUAUAAGAAAUAGAAAUUUUAUAUUAAUCGUAAUACUAGAAUAAGUAAAUAUAAAAUAUAAGAAUAAAUAAAUAAUAAGUAAAUAAAGUAUAUAAGAAAUAAAAAUAUUACAUUAAAUAUAAAUUGUAAUAUCAUCAUUAUUAUAAAAGCAAGAAAUUUAGAAUAAAUAAAUAUACAUAAUAAGAAAAGAAAACAAUAAGUAAAUAUUCAAUAUAAAAAAUGGUAAAAACUAAAUUAAACAUAUAUCUGAAAAGUAUAGUUAAAUAAACAAUAAGUAAAUAUAAAAUGUAAAAAUAUUACAUUAAACAUCUUCUAUAUUAUUAGAAUAAUAUUUGAAAUUGGUAAUAACUCCUUCAUCUAAGAGUUAAUCCGCGCUACGCGCUUAACUAUUUUGAUUUUCAAAUAUUAACUAUAUUGCGAUUAUUUUGGACGUUGUAUUAUGAAAAACAACAAAAUUUUGAAUUGUAUGUUUGUGUGAAUACAUAUUUUUAAAUAGAUGUUUGAUAUAGUUUUCCAUUUUUUAUAUUAAAUAUUUACUCAUUAUUUAAUUUUUCUUAUAUUGUAGGGCAAUUCUCUCAAACAGAUCUUUUUAAGUUUUUGUCACAAAAAUAUCUUUCAAUAAGGAAAAUGAUCAAAAUAGCUCCUUUUAAUUUUGAAAAUUUUAAUUUUAAUUUUAAUUUUUUAAAAUUUAAAACUCUAUACUCAAAACCUCACCUCUUAAGUCUAAACCCUAAGUCUAUAUUAGUUAAUCCUAUGAUAUACAUGUAUUUUUACUCUUUAAUAAAACUUUUUUAGUCAUUUUUGUCAUUUAGAACUAUUUUGUGACAAAACUUUAAAAUGACUAUCCUAGGAAAUUUUUCUAUAUUGUAUAUUUAUUUAUUCUACUUUUUUUUAUUUUAUAUCAGAUGGUAAUAUUACGCUAGAUGUGUAAUGUAAUAUAUAUAUUUCUUAUAUUGUAUAUUUGCUUAUUAUUUAUUUAACUAUACAUUUUCUAAUUAACUAUACAUUUUUCAUAUAGAUCUUUAAUUUAAUUUAUUCCAUUUUUAUAUUGUAUAUUACUUGUUGUUUUUCUUUUUUUUUGUAUAUUUACUUAUUCUACAUAUCUUGCUAUAUCAAUUAUAAUAAGGGAAAAUUACAUGUUUACCACUUUUAUAGUACCACUUUUCAUUUUUACCACCACUAAAGAGACAUUUUCAAAAAUAUUUUCUUCAUUAAGUGGUAAAAGACUCUUAUGCCCUUGUUAUUUAUAUAUAAAAUAAAUCAUUAUUUAAAUAAAAUAAUAAAAAAAAUAAAAAAUAAUAAAAAAAAUAAAAUAAAAAUAAAAAAAUAAAAAAAAUACAGAGAAAAUAAAAAAUAAUUUUUUUUAUGUUUUCGAAUUAUACUUUUUCAAAUUCGAACUUUUUUAUAAAUUUUUUUUUUUGAAAUUCUUUUUUCUGAAUUUUUUUUUAAUUUUUUCAUACAUUUUUUUUGAAAAACGAAAAUUAUGUUUGAAACUAUUUUUUAAAAUUUUAUAUAAAUUUUUUAAGUAAUUAUUUAUAUAUUUAUAAGAAUCCUAAAUUUCAUAUUCCAAAAACCCUACCCCACCCCUCAACUCUAAACCCUAAGUCUAGAUUAGUUAACCCUAAGGGUAUAAUUGUCUUUUACCCUUCAUUAAAACUGAGAGUAAAAAUGGUUAGUGUAAACAUGAAAAAUGGUACUAUGAAUGUGCUAUUUGUGGCAAUUUCCCUUAUAAUAUUACGAUAUAUAUUUAAUGUAAUAUUUUUAUUUCUUAUAUAUUAUAUUUACUUAUUUUUUUACAUUAUAUAUUUAGUUAUUAUGAUAUGUAACAUUUUAUUUUUUAUUCUUUAUAUUGUAUUGUUACUUAUUAUUUAUUUCUUCCAAUAAUGUAUAUAUAUUUACUUAUAAAAAUAUUUGUAAGUAAUAAAAAUGUAAAGCAAUAUAUUUUCAUUUCUUAUAUUGUAUAUUUACUUUUUAUUGUAUAUUUACUUAUUUAAUUGUUUUGCUUUUAUAUCAAAUUUUAAUAUUACGAUAGUUUUUAAUGUAAUAUUUCUAUUUCUUUUAUAUUUACUUAUUUUUAUUUUAUUAUAUAUUUUUCAUAUAGGUGUUUAAAGUAUUUUUCGUAUUUCUUAUAUUUUAUAUUUACUUAUUCUAGUAUUAUAAUAGAUGUUUAAUAUAAUAUUUUUAUAUUGUAUAUUUACUUAUUUUUUAUUUAACUAUAAAUUUUUUAAAUAUAUGUUUAAUUUAGUAUUUAUUUAUUCUAAUUAUUUUGUGGAGCCUCAAAAGGUCUCUUUUAUUAGUAUAGACUAGAUUUUACAAUCGCGCUACGCGCGAAUCUGUAUUAAUAAUUUAAUUUAGUUUUAUAAUAACUUUUAAACUAACACUUUAAUUGAUUUAUAUAAUUUUAUUAUUUAAAAUAUGAUUUGUUUAUUUAAAAAUUUAUUUUUAUUUAUAAUUAUACCCUGUUAUUAUCUAUUUAGUUACUUGUAUUUAUAGAUGCAAUAAUCAUUUUUAUAAACAUAUUCAUAGUUUUUAAAAAUAUUAAAUUAUAUUUUAAAAUAUUAUGUAGAUUACUCAAUGCUUGUAAGUUGUUAAUACAUUAUAAUAUUUUAUCAGAAAAUUAUAUAUAUUUUAUUUGAAUAAUAAGCGAUUAAACUAUCCGCAAAAUAUCUAAUUUUGCUUUAUAUUCAGAAAAACUUUAUAAUUAAUGUGUGAUUUUUAUACAUAUAUAUAUAUAUGUAAUAAUAUUUCGAUUUAAAAUUUAAUCGCUACAAAUAUUUUGAUGAACUUUAACUAAUAUUAAAUCAUCUUUGUAAGAUUAUAUAAAUUUAAAGUAAAUAUAAUGAAUUAAAAAAAUGGUAAGUAACAUUUUAUUUUUUGAAUUAAUAAUAUAGAGAACCUAAAGUAUAAUAUUUAUCUAUUACUUGAUCUAGUUAUUUAGUUGUAUAGUAGUGAAGCUUGUAUGAUUGUAUAAUGCAUCACAAUAUAUCAUAAUUUACUUUUUUUUAUUGAACAAUAUUAUUUUGGUACGAUAGAUAAUAUAUGUUUGUAUCUGAGUUUCCAUGAAUAUUUUUAAGAUCAUUUAUAAACAAUUAUAUAAUUUGAUAAAAUAAUAAUAAUUCUAGUUGCUAAAUGCUGGCAAUAAGAUAACAAACGUCUUAGAUAGCGUACUCAUUGUAAUCUUGAGAUUUUUUUAAAUGUUAUAAGUUUGUAAAUUUGUAUGUUUUUAGUUUGUUGAUGAUAAAUUCAUAUUUAUUAUUUUUUCUGUCAUUCUUUUAUGUUAUCUUUCAUGCUAAUAUAUUGUUGGUCGUCCUUAUAAUUUUAUUAAAAAUCUUAACUAACUUAUUUGACAUGCUUUCUUAGAUUUUUUUAUUUUAUUCUAACUUGUAAACAUUGUUCUCUAAAUAUUUUCUUCAACAUAACUCAACAUGGAGCAUCUUAAACUUUAUAUGUUAUAUGAGGUGUAUCAGACUAAUGAGUAUAAGAAUUCAUCAUUUAAUUUGCAUUAAUAAUAUAAUUUUUAAGAAAUCUUGUGAAUCACAUCAUGUUAGCUUUAUUUCAGUAUAUCUUAUUUGUUUAGUUUCUAUGAAAAUUUUGACUGUAACUGACUAAAAUAAUAUUUGUACAAAAAUAAAAUAAUAGUGCUGAUUAAUAUUAAAAAUUUUAAUAGACAAAUAAAUUCGUUAGUUUUUUGAUGGAUUAAAAUAAUUUGAAACUCAUAAAUAAAUUUUGGAACGAAUGUAAAUUUCAAAUAUUUUUCUUAUAUUGAAAUUAUUCUCUACUCUAUCCGAUUUUUCGGUGUGAUACAUUUUUCGUCUAUUAGAUUUUGUCUUUCGCUUUGUAUGUCUACAUUCCAUCGCGGAUGUUUUACAUUUUUCUUUGCACUAAUUUUCAUUUACCGUUAUUGUUCACAUUCACUUCAAAUCCUAUAUUCCUGACGCUUUGCUUGUUCAUGAAGAUUAUGUUUGGUUUUUCGAUUUGGAUAUUAUUUAAGAAAAUACAUUUGUAUUUAUAGAUGGAAUCAUUAUGUUUAUAAACACAUUAAUAGUUUUUGAAAUGUUAAAUUAUAUUUUAAAAUAUUAUGUAGAUUACUCAAGUCCUAUAUUCUUGAUGCGUUCCUUGCAAGUCAUAUACUCUUGACGCGUUCCUUGUUCAUGAAGAUUAUGUUUGGUUUUUCGAUUUGAAUAUUAUUAAAGAAAACACAUUUGAUAUUGAUUUAACUUAUUUUGAAAAUACACUUUUGAAAUUUUAUUUUGAAGAGUAUAUUUUUAUUUUGUGUUCCUGGAAGGAAAAAUAUUGUAUCUAUAUCUAUGAAUCAAUUUAAUUUUAAUGAUUUAUAUAUUAGUUUACCUUAUUUGAUGUUGAAUUUCAUUUUGUAUUAUCAAUUUUGGAAAUUUUAACAUUUUAAUAAUACUAAACUAUAUUUAUGAUUUUUCAUAUUUUGAUUGUUUUUUUCUAAUCCUAUGUGUAUACUCUCAAUGACUUAUAUCCUCAUACAUAGUAUAUGUUAUUUUUGAAUAUUUUCAAUAGUAUAUAGCCUAAACUUUGAAAACCAUGAGUUAAAUUAAUUUACUUAUAAUUGUUUGAAAGUCUUGUAUUCUCAAUAUUAAUUCUUAUUUUGUAUUUUAUUUUAAUGUUACAUUUUGAGAAAUAUUAUAUAUUAAGUAAAUUUAACUAUAAUGUUUUACUUUUGUUAACUUACCUUGUUUAAUGAACAACUUCUUAUUAAAACCCUACUCGAGGUCGUGAAAUACCAAGAAAGAAGCAGAAGCAACCAUAAUUUUGAUUUCUUUUUUUUUUCACUAUCUAUCACUUUCUCAAAGUAAGCAGAAGCAAUCAUAGUUUAGACUCUCUUGGAAACUAAGACAAUUAUUUAUAAUCACACAAUACUUCAUAUAUUAUAAAUUAGAAAGUUUCUUAUUUUAUAUAUUAGUCAAAAAAGUUUUAAUUGUUUUUGUUAUUUUAACUAUUUUAACAUUAAAAUAUAUCUAAGAAGACAUAUUUUUUUGUUAAUAUUACUAAUUUCUAUUAAAUUUAACAUAUUUUUUUGUUAAUAUUACUAUUUUCUAUUAAAUUUCCAUUUUACUUUAAUAGUUAGCAUUUUUUAGUAAGUUAUGAAAAGUUAAUAUCUAUUUUGUUAGUUUAGUAUAUUGAUAUAAUAGUAAUUUUGUUUUUAAAGAUUAUUUUUAAUAUUAACAUUUUUAAAAAGAUAAUAAAUUAAGAUGUUGAUUUGUCAUAUUUUGAUUGGUGGUUUAAUAUUCUACGUGGACGCUCUUAAUAGCUUAUAGCUUCAAUUUUUAUAUAGUAUAGAUUUAUUAAUAUGGAUUAUUCUAUAAAUAUGUUAAAAUUUGACUUUUGGAAAUUCAAUUUUUAGUUUUCUGCCUACAAAUUAACGUUGAGUCAAAAAAAAAAAAGGUCUCUAGGGAAAAUUAGCUUAUUUUGAAAUGUUAAAUGGGCCUACGAUGGCCCAUUAUACAGCCUACGGCGAAGUCACGGCGCCGUAAAACGAAAACCCCAAGUCGGUCGGAGGAAGUGAGCAACCACAAGGAACAGUCUCUGGCUACGAAAAUGGUCCAGCCCCGAUUCGUCCGUCCGUCGCCAUCAUCGCCUUCCUCCGGCACCGGAGAACCCAACUCAUCCAAUCUGUACGUCGCGAAUUGCGGGCCGGCGGUUGGACUUUCGCACGACGCGAUAGGGGCGGUGUUCUCUGCUUUCGGUGAAGUGAAGGGCGUCUUCCCGGCGGACGAGAGCGGCGUUCGUGUCAUCGUCUCUUUCGCGGAUCCGUUCUCAGCGAAAUCCGCUCUAGAAGCCUUGAGUGGUCGGCCAUGUCCGGACCUCGAUGGAAGGACUUUACAUAUUCGAUACUCUGUUCUUCAGUUACCUUCCCAGGUACUUGCUUUCAAAGUUUUGAUCUUUGUGUUAUUGUAAUGUUGAUGUUGGUUUAAAGACAGAACCUUUGUGUCUUGUUUUGUGAUUCGCUUGCAAUUAGCAUUCUGUUCAACUUCACUUGCACCGAUUUGUUCUUUUGUAAUGUUUGUGUUGGGUUAAAGACAGAAACUUUGUGUCUUGCAAUUAGCAUUCACUUGCUCACUCUUCUGUUCUUGCUUAGACGCAGGUGAAUGAAUGCGUCCCAGUUUCUUUGUCUGGUUCAGAUUUGAAUAUCCCAGGGCUCUUCCUUUUACCUGAUUUUGUCACUGCUGAAGAAGAACAGGUACUAUCUCUGAUGUGCUUUAAGGUCUAGUAUAUGCACUUGAUGAUCAUGAUGAUCUCUUCUCUUGUUGCUUAUCGUUUUCGCCUCUAUCAGCAAUUGCUUGCAGCUGUUGAUACUCAGCCUUGGAUCGGUCUAGCCAAACGGCGUGUUCAACACUAUGGAUAUGAGUUCUGUUACGGGACAAGAAAUGUUGAUACCAAGAACCGUCUCGGAGAGCUUCCAACGUUUGUCUCUCCUAUACUCCAAAGAAUCUCAUUGUUCCCGAACCUUGACUACGACCCAGCAAGCUUGAAUCUAGACCAGUUAACGGUACAUCAUCAACACUUAGAUUCUUUAUAAUGCUUUUGAACUACAUUGAUGGCUUGAGGAAUUCUUGUUGUAGGUAAAUGAGUACCCAUGUGGUGUGGGUUUAUCACCUCACAUUGACACACAUUCAGCGUUUGAAGAUUGCAUUUUCAGCCUUUCUUUAGCUGGUCCUUGCAUUAUGGAGUUCAGAAGAUACUCUGCUUCCACAUGGAAAGCAGCAUCAACCACCACCGAUGACGACGAGAAGCCAGAUAGCUCCACUUGCAUCAAGAAAGCUUUAUAUCUUCCUCCUCGGUCUAUGCUCUUAUUAUCUGGGGAAGCUCGGUACGCUUGGAAUCAUUACAUUCCACAUCACAAGGUUUGUAUCUUUGUUUGUUUGUGUUGGCUUCAAUCUCUCCUUUGAGAUAACUUUGACCUCAACUCUUCUAUCUACUGCUGUGUUCUCUAAUAGAUUGACAAGGUGAAGGAUAAAGUGAUCAGGAGAAGUCCGAGAAGGGUAUCUUUCACAUUGCGGAAGGUAUAAUAUUAUCGACAACUUUCUAGACGAUGGUGUGACCAAUUAAUUCAGAGAGAUUGAUAACUUCUUUUUGGCUGCAGGUGAGAAAUCAUCCUUGCAGGUGUGAGUUCCCACAAUACUGUGACUCUCAACAACAAAAACAUAACUGAGGCAAAGGAGAAAUUCAGUGAAAUGAUUUUUGAAAUGUAUAAGUUGAGUAUCAAACUCUCAACUCUAUAAAUGUAGAUUUCUUUUUUAGCUCAUCCAGGAACAAUACUACCAAUUAUAGAGACUAUUAUGCACGAUAUCUAAUGAUUCAAACAGUUGUGUUUGUAAUUUGUAAUAUCAAAUUGCAAAGAAAAGAAGAAUUGUAAGAGACAAUAUUGGUUAUAUUUGACUGAUAUCAAAUGUAAGGUUCAUUGCAUGAUUUUUAAAAAGUAAAGGGGACGGAAUAAAAAUAUUUUCCUAGUUUUUCAGCAGACUGUAUAUUUCAUUUUGAACCCUCUCGAGUCUCGAGUCAAAGGCCAAACAAAAGCGAGUUUAAUUAGUUCUCAACAGAUGUUUAACAAUACUCUUCUGCUUCAUCUUCCUCGUCCCAUUCUUCCUUCUUUCACCAGGUGGGUUGUUUCCUUAUUUGUACUUUCGAAUUCACUAAUGUGACCAAAUCGAGAGAAAAAAAAAAUGAACAAAAUUUUAUCCUCUCAAAUCUUUGAUACUUAAGAGGCAAUGAUUGACUGACUCGGCCUCUUUUGAUUUCAACGUAAAUAUUGAUAAUUUUCAUAGUUUUGUUGACCCUUUUGAUUUUUUGAUUGAACAGUUGUCGAGCCAGCAGGAAGAUUCUUUCGAAAAGAAUGACUACUGCAAUGGAUCCUAAAGUUGGAAAAUUUGAAUCUGUUGAAGGAGCUGAUCUUAAUUCAAUAAGCAAACCUGAUGGUAUGUUUACUAACAAAGCUUGUCGUUUCUAUAAAUGUCUAUGUAAAAAACUUUGUAAUUUUCGAGGUGGUGAAUGUGAUGAGAGUUUUAAUUGUUUGCAGGCAUCAGAUUCCGUCUAGUUUCCUAUAACAUACUAGCUCAGGUAUUCAAAUAAUCAAAGGUCUUUCAUAAUGGUUUGACAAAAAAAUAUAUUUGUAUUCUAAUUCACAUCAAAACUGAGUCCUUGUAUUGUGUGUUUCUUGUACCUUUUUGUAUGUUUGUUUGGUUCAUGUGAUUUCUGAUUCUUUUCCUUUCUUUUAGGUUUAUGUGAAGAGCUCCUUUUUCCCACACUCUCCACCUGCCUGCCUCAAGUAUGUUUCUCAGUUUUGAUCAAUAGCCUAGAAUAUAAACACUUAACUCAAGAUUUGCCUCUAAAAAGUUUAUUUCCGAUCAUGAUUACAAGCCAAAAGUACUAGAACAAUAAUGGAUCCUAUUGAGUGUCCAAGAACUUUACCUAGAAACAGCCUCACUAUGUUUGGUUUUGCUCACACUAGUGUUCUUUUUAAUAUACAAUGUACUUUGCAAGUAUCCUAAAAUUGUUAAGAUACUUGCAGUAAAUGAGACCUGCUCUUCCUUUUGCAGAUGGAAAGCUCGUUCACAUGCCAUUCUCAGCGUUCUGAAAAAACUCCAGGCUGACUUCUUUUGUUUGCAGGUUUGUUCUCUGUGAGCUUCCUUCGUUUGAGUUUUUGGUUAGAAAUUUAGAAACCCUUCUUCUCAUGAGACCUAAUUACUUCUUAGUUAUCCAUUGGACAGUCUCCACUAGGUAGGUAGUUAAUAUUGUUACAUAUUUCUCUCAGGAAGUAGAUGAGUACGAUACCUUUUACAGAAAAAACAUGGAGUCUCUGGGCUACUCUGGGAUUUAUAUUCAGAGAACUGGGCAGAGAAAGCGUGAUGGUUGUGCAAUCUUCUUCAAGCCUAGCUGGUAUAUGAUUAAAAACACUAGUCGUGUUUCAAUUUUAAUGCAGAAGCCUUGAUCUGAUAGAAACAAGACUCUUAUUUGGAUUUAGUGCAGAGUUGGUCACCAAAGAACGGAUCGAAUACAAUGACCUUUUGGACGAACAGAAGAUUGAGACCUCCAACGAAGCAAAAGGUGAUGAAAAAGAAGCGAAAGGUAGAUAUAUGUCAACUUCUUUGUGGUGAUUCCUUUAUAUCUUAAACAUCAUUUACCCAUUUCUUAUCUACUCAUGUUUCCUUCAAACAAAAAAGAUUCUCAGAAAGACAGCCGUGACCUUAAUGAUCCACAAGUGAGACUAAAACGCGAUUGUGUUGGGAUAAUGGCUGCUUUUAGGAUCAACAAGCCGUUUCAUCACAUUGUCAUCGUGGCCAACACACAUCUUUACUGGUAAAAAAACAACUCUUGUUACCACCUAUUAGUUAAAGCAUGUCUCAUUCUCAUGUUUGCUUUCUUUCUAGGGACCCGGAGCUGGCUGAUGUGAAGCUUGCACAAGCCAAGUAUCUACUCUCACGACUAGCUCAGUUCAAGACGCUAAUAUCAGAUGAAUUCGAGUGCACACCUUCUUUGCUACUUGCUGGUGACUUCAAUUCAAUCCCUGGGGAUAUGGUUUGAUUCAUUUCCUUGCCUUUAGUUCUACACUUUAAAUCUAUUUUCUCAAUUGUUUUGUUGUUUUUCAGGUGUAUAGUUACCUAGUAUCAGGUUAUAAGAAACCUGCAGACAUAGAAGAAGAAGAAGUGGCUCCUAUUCCUAUGUGUAGUGUCUAUGAAGUGACUAGAGGAGAGCCUAAGUUCACAAACUGCACUCCAGGCUUCACAAACACACUUGACUACAUCUUCUUCUCUCCUUCAGACUUCAUCAAACCUGUGAGUAUCCUCCAACUACCUGAACCCGAAUCUCCAGAUGUUGUUGGUUUCUUACCUAAUGAUCAUCACCCAAGUGACCAUUUACCUAUAGGGGCUGAGUUUGAGAUCAGUCGUGAAUAGAAAGUUUUGUUUCCAUAGCUUCACAAUACAAGUGUUGAAAGACUUGCAUUAGUUUUCUCAACGACUUUAAAGUUACAUUUUUUUUCUGGUUCUUAAAGAAGAUUUGAAUUUUCUAUGGAAAAGAUUUAUUGUCAUGACAUGUUUACAUAUGAUGAUCUCGUGGAAUAAGAUUCCAGCCGAUCAUAAUCUGUUUUAUCUAUCAACCCUUAAGUAUGGUACUGCUGCACAAACUUUUUUUUUACCUAUUGAAACUCAAAAUGAACAUGUUUGAUGUGUGUUUCACCGAACAGUUCAUGGAUCAUAGUCAAAGCUUCUUGAAACAACCCGCAAAAGUUCAUAGCCUUUCUCUAUUAGUCUCGACCUUCUUUCCGGUGGCCUACUUUUACUUCAACACCAAGCAAUCUCACUUACUAUUAACCUUUGAUUGAAUCGUAAAACCCCUCAAAACAUCUCCCAGCCGAGCCAAUAGCUAUCUGAAAAAUCUGGAUUUUUACAAUAAAACCUGCAAUAUGGGCUGACUUGUUGACGGUAAAGGAAGACUGAGAGUCUGAGACCAUUACCUCGAGCUACAGAGGCAAUGUAUUUCCUCGAGCUACAUUGGCAACGUCUUGUCUGUAGCUGUAGGUGAAGCCACCGACAAAAAUCUGGAACAAAACCAUAUGUCAGGGAUAGCAAACAUAAUGCACAAAUGGAUUACUGAACUGACAAUCAAUACUCAUACACAGAUUUGAUACAUUGUAUCGAGAGUCGCCGACCUGGACUGAUGUUAGCUCGGGUGUUUCUCGGACAAGGACCCGCUUUGGUCUUGUCUUCAGGACGACGGAACUGGAGUUUGGACUCGGCGCUCCCUUACUUGGAACUGGCAACCUAGCGCCUGUAAUGAUGGCUCGUGGUCGGUCUCUGCUAUUGUGUGGCCUGAACUCGGAGCAGCUUUAGAGUCUUAACUCGAUUUUUUAAGCCAAUGUCUGCUAAAAUCUUCCAACCACAGACCUGAAAAGAUGAACACAGCUAACAGCAAAACAAUAUGCCCAAAGGAAGAAGCUCUCUUUAUUAUCUGUAAAAUUAUAGUUACAAAUUACAAUGAGACAAACCAAUAGUCUUGAGUAUUCUUUUUUUUUUCACAUUUCCUGCAUCACAUGUUACUUAUGCACGGUAAACAAAAACAAAAUCAGGGAGCUAUUUUGCUGGACUUCAGAUAUUUAAACCUAUGGUCAAAGUGUUUAAGGCUUCUUCAGAUAUUUCUUGGCUUCUGCAGAGAAGCUUCUUGCGAUUUCUUUAUUGGAGAAUGUUAAAGGAAGCUCUUCAUCAGCAUCAUCAGUCUCUCCUCUGUCUAUCCAGCUAUGAGGUCUACUCGAGUCUUUUGGACUAUCAUCUCCUUCUCUGGAUUCCAUGGGCGAGUUUGGUUCGUCUGGUAACUCGCGAUAUAAGUGUUUAAUUAUGAACAGAGCAGUAUCAUUAUCUCUCCAAUAGUUUCUGCACAAUAUAUAUUACAGUCGUUUGAGUUCUUACUUCCAGACGUAGAUGUAAUGUGUUAUCAAUGAUAAGUUUCACUUACGUAUGAGCUCCUAUGGCUUGUAGAUACGGAUGCUUAAAAGUUUUUUCCUGUAUCACCCAAAGAGUCAAGUCAAUUAAACUAGCAUGCUUAGGCCAAAUCCAACAGAAUAUUAAAAGGCUAUUAAUUAGGUGAUGAUGCAUCAUGAUUUCUUCUACCUGUAGCAUGUGAUCUAUUCGACCAUCUCGAGUUCCAGUCAACCUUUCCAUCAUUAAGGAACCAUAGGACCUUCCAUCCUUUUCGUCAUCGGUUUCUUCAGUCUCUGUUCAAGGAACAUUAGAAAGUAGAUGGAUGGAUUCAUCAACUGUGGAGAUGCCAUUUGGAGCCAUCAUAUGGGAGUGAAAAAAAGAGCAAAUCGAACUUUACCUUCUAGUUCAUCCGAGCUUUUGGAUUGGCAAAUAGUGAGAACUCUUGUCUGCAUGACAAUUAAAGAUGAGGCUUGUGUAUGUUGAAUCGCAAAAGAUUAAAAAAAACUAAGUACAAGUCUGGGAACACACACCCUUACUGAAGCAAAAUGAUUCAUUAAUCUCUGUGAACGCUCUGCAAAAUCCUCUUUGAAAUCCUAUAGAACAUUGCAGCUAACAAAAUUAGAAGAAGCAGGAAACAGGAACACUAAACCAUGAGAUUUUAAUUACCUGGAAUCCAAUAUGCAACCGCUUUCCACCUCUGUGGUAAGGAACAAGAACAGGUCGUUUGGGAAGGUACUCUUUGCAGACAAGUGGCUCCACUCUGCACGCAUGAAACACAAUAACGUAAUAUAGGGAGAGACCAAAAACUAGCUAGAAUACUUUUUUAUUCCUAUGAAGACUAACCUAUACGCAACAGGAUCAUAGGGGUGAAAAAUGUUGAACAUUCGACGACAAGCUGGCAUCUCUUCAAUAACAUUUCCCUCUUCCCAGUAAUCUUUUCCCUUACCUAAGACAUGUUAAACAGCUUUUACAUAAAAAAAAAGAGGAGACUUUAUAAUUCUACUCAACAAGUAUUACCUAUCCCAAGACGUAUAUUUCUAAGGGCAAGGAAGACUCCAAGAGGAGACCCAACUGCAAAGAAAGUGUCAACCUGAUACAGUUAAAAGUUAGGCUGACACAUUUUGCAUUGUGGUUCGAAUGAGAUACAAAAAAUAUUAAUUAUCGCAGACCUUGAACUCGAGCUUUCGGUAUUUGAUAUAAGGAGUAAAGCUAGAAGGUGCAGUGGCAUCUUUAGUUGGCGCCUUCUCGUUGAUGUGCUGUUCAGGUAUCAAAGAUGUCUUGGUUUUUUCUGUUGAUAACACCAUUUCAUCUCGUACCAAACAGGACUUGAAAUAUGGGUAAGAUAAAAGAAAAUCGAGGUUCAGAAAUAAUACCAUCGGUUAUUCUGGCAUUUUCUGAUUGCAGUUGCGCUACUUUUGACCUCAAUGAUUUAACCUGCGAAUAAAAUCAUUCCACCGAUACGCAAACAAACUGAUCAACAACUUCAACAGAAAAACACAAACCUAAGGAAGUAUGAGAAGCUGUGAACACGAAUGAAAGCUUGCAAGAAUAUAAACUAGGUAAUCUGAACUAAGAAGUUGGAUGUGUCGAUGUUUACCUCUUCCCGUAAUAACUUGAUCAUCUCGUCGUUAUUGGAAUUUUCACAUUUUUUCUCCCAUGAUUGUUCUGGAGAACAGGAUGAAGAAUCAGGCGUUCUACAGUCAGCUCCAUCUGGUCCAUCCUGUGAGGAAAUAGCACUACUAGAAUCAUCAUGAUGGUCAUCUUCCUGGCUCUCUCUUUUUCCCAAACCCACGAUGUCCACUACAGAAUCAGAGACCAACGAAGGACCUUCUUGAAAGACAUCUUGAUGCUCCAACAACGUUGUUUUUUUAUCCAUCAUGUCAUUAUCUUCACCUGUGAUUUCCUCGGUGUUAUUCAACUGGUUAGAUUUAUCUGGCUCAAUUUUUGAUGAUCGAUGCGAACUACAAGGUUCAUCAGCGCUAGCUUGAAUUGGAGGAGAUUCUUCAUCUGGAAAGAAUUUCUUGUAUACUGCAUCCAUUGGAAAUGGGGAUGACAAAUUGUGCUGAUGACAUAAGAUGUCAUAGGAGAGAACACUCCCCAGAGAAUGUCCAUAUAUGGAAAUCUGUAUAAUAAUGUCCAUGAACAGAACAUGAGUUUUUUUAAUUUAAUGGAAGCUUACACUUGUCACAGAUUGAUGAAAUGCAAUAGACUUAUAACCAGAUAGGCACCUUUCCAUCAUAGUCCGGGUUUCUCUUUAUAAAUUUCAGAUACAGUUUAUUGAGCUGGUUUGAGACCUGAAAGAUGUAAACAAGCACAGAUUAUAAUGAUGCAGAAGAUGAUAGUAACAAUGUCUAAUAAGCUAUUAGGUUGUUCAAAAAUUCUAAAACUAAAUCACAAACUAGAUUCAGUUUGGCACUACUAAAACAAAAAGAGUAUCAAAGUUGGGAAAUUGCAAUACCGAAUCAAUAAUAGCCUGACAAUAAAUGGGGCUCAUGUAGUAUAACACAUCAUGAACAGUUGCGCUCAGCAUCUCUCGCAAACGCCGUACACCGUCUAAAGUACAUUUAUCAACAGCAGCUUCACCACUUAGCUUUAAACCCUUCCUCCACUACAAAAAACAAUAUAGAAAGAAAGAAUAAAUGAAGUAAAAUCAUACUAUACAAAGAUAAACCAGAAAAAAAAAAGAUUUAUAUAUAGAGAGAUACCUGGCAUGGGAUGAAAAGGACUCUUUGAGUGCCGAGCUGAUGAGAGGUUAGAUGACGUUCCCCUAAACCUGCUGUGAUUUGGCGAAAGUUUCCAACGUCGUCAACAAGAUUAGACUUUUCACCUUUUUGGCCAAUACCAUGAACCAUGAAUACAAGAUGUCUAACAGGGACCUGGACAUAAUAACACACAGCACAAAAAAAUUGAGAUAUUCUGAAAAUAGUUUGACAACAGAGAUCAGAUGCUCUAUAUGCAAUUCAUUGGAAACGAGUAUACUAAGACAUACUUGUGAACAAUAGUCAUCCAUUUCUUCCUCCUUUUGUUGGCGUAGUUCGAUUCAUUUCCUUGCCUUUAGUUCUACACUUUAAAUCUAUUUUCUCAAUUGUUUUGUUGUUUUUCAGGUGUAUAGUUACCUAGUAUCAGGUUAUAAGAAACCUGCAGACAUAGAAGAAGAAGAAGUGGCUCCUAUUCCUAUGUGUAGUGUCUAUGAAGUGACUAGAGGAGAGCCUAAGUUCACAAACUGCACUCCAGGCUUCACAAACACACUUGACUACAUCUUCUUCUCUCCUUCAGACUUCAUCAAACCUGUGAGUAUCCUCCAACUACCUGAACCCGAAUCUCCAGAUGUUGUUGGUUUCUUACCUAAUGAUCAUCACCCAAGUGACCAUUUACCUAUAGGGGCUGAGUUUGAGAUCAGUCGUGAAUAGAAAGUUUUGUUUCCAUAGCUUCACAAUACAAGUGUUGAAAGACUUGCAUUAGUUUUCUCAACGACUUUAAAGUUACAUUUUUUUUCUGGUUCUUAAAGAAGAUUUGAAUUUUCUAUGGAAAAGAUUUAUUGUCAUGACAUGUUUACAUAUGAUGAUCUCGUGGAAUAAGAUUCCAGCCGAUCAUAAUCUGUUUUAUCUAUCAACCCUUAAGUAUGGUACUGCUGCACAAACUUUUUUUUUACCUAUUGAAACUCAAAAUGAACAUGUUUGAUGUGUGUUUCACCGAACAGUUCAUGGAUCAUAGUCAAAGCUUCUUGAAACAACCCGCAAAAGUUCAUAGCCUUUCUCUAUUAGUCUCGACCUUCUUUCCGGUGGCCUACUUUUACUUCAACACCAAGCAAUCUCACUUACUAUUAACCUUUGAUUGAAUCGUAAAACCCCUCAAAACAUCUCCCAGCCGAGCCAAUAGCUAUCUGAAAAAUCUGGAUUUUUACAAUAAAACCUGCAAUAUGGGCUGACUUGUUGACGGUAAAGGAAGACUGAGAGUCUGAGACCAUUACCUCGAGCUACAGAGGCAAUGUAUUUCCUCGAGCUACAUUGGCAACGUCUUGUCUGUAGCUGUAGGUGAAGCCACCGACAAAAAUCUGGAACAAAACCAUAUGUCAGGGAUAGCAAACAUAAUGCACAAAUGGAUUACUGAACUGACAAUCAAUACUCAUACACAGAUUUGAUACAUUGUAUCGAGAGUCGCCGACCUGGACUGAUGUUAGCUCGGGUGUUUCUCGGACAAGGACCCGCUUUGGUCUUGUCUUCAGGACGACGGAACUGGAGUUUGGACUCGGCGCUCCCUUACUUGGAACUGGCAACCUAGCGCCUGUAAUGAUGGCUCGUGGUCGGUCUCUGCUAUUGUGUGGCCUGAACUCGGAGCAGCUUUAGAGUCUUAACUCGGUUUUUUAAGCCAAUGUCUGCUAAAAUCUUCCAACCACGGACCUGAAAAAAUGAACACAGCUAACAGCAAAACAAUAUGCCCAAAGGAAGAAGCUCUCUUUAUUAUCUGUAAAAUUAUAGUUACAAUGAGACAAACCAAUAGUCUUGAGUAUUCUUUUUUUCACAUUUCCUGCAUCACAUGUUACUUAUGCACGGUAAACAAAAACAAAAUCAGGGAGCUAUUUUGCUGGACUUCAGAUAUUUAAACCUAUGGUCAAAAGUGUUUAAGGCUUCUUCAGAUAUUUCUUGGCUUCUGCAGAGAAGCUUCUUGCGAUUUCUUUAUUGGAGAAUGUUAAAGGAAGCUCUUCAUCAGCAUCAUCAGUCUCUCCUCUGUCUAUCCAGCUAUGAGGUCUACUUGAGUCUUUUGGACUAUCAUCUCCUUCUCUGGAUUCCAUGGGCGAGUUUGGUUCGUCUGGUAACUCGCGAUAUAAGUGUUUAAUUAUGAACAGAGCAGUAUCAUUAUCUCUCCAAUAGUUUCUGCACAAUAUAUAUUACAGUCGUUUGAGUUCUUACUUCCAGACGUAGAUGUAAUGUGUUAUCAAUGAUAAGUUUCACUUACGUAUGAGCUCCUAUGGCUUGUAGAUACGGAUGCUUAAAAGUUUUUUCCUGUAUCACCCAAAGAGUCAAGUCAAUUAAACUAGCAUGCUUAGGCCAAAUCCAACAGAAUAUUAAAAGGCUAUUAAUUAGGUGAUGAUGCAUCAUGAUUUCUUCUACCUGUAGCAUGUGAUCUAUUCGACCAUCUCGAGUUCCAGUCAACCUUUCCAUCAUUAAGGAACCAUAGGACCUUCCAUCCUUUUCGUCAUCGGUUUCUUCAGUCUCUGUUCAAGGAACAUUAGAAAGUAGAUGGAUGGAUUCAUCAACUGUGGAGAUGCCAUUUGGAGCCAUCAUAUGGGAGUGAAAAAAAGAGCAAAUCGAACUUUACCUUCUAGUUCAUCCGAGCUUUUGGAUUGGCAAAUAGUGAGAACUCUUGUCUGCAUGACAAUUAAAGAUGAGGCUUGUGUAUGUUGAAUCGCAAAAGAUUAAAAAAAACUAAGUACAAGUCUGGGAACACACACCCUUACUGAAGCAAAAUGAUUCAUUAAUCUCUGUGAACGCUCUGCAAAAUCCUCUUUGAAAUCCUAUAGAACAUUGCAGCUAACAAAAUUAGAAGAAGCAGGAAACAGGAACACUAAACCAUGAGAUUUUAAUUACCUGGAAUCCAAUAUGCAACCGCUUUCCACCUCUGUGGUAAGGAACAAGAACAGGUCGUUUGGGAAGGUACUCUUUGCAGACAAGUGGCUCCACUCUGCACGCAUGAAACACAAUAACGUAAUAUAGGGAGAGACCAAAAACUAGCUAGAAUACUUUUUUAUUCCUAUGAAGACUAACCUAUACGCAACAGGAUCAUAGGGGUGAAAAAUGUUGAACAUUCGACGACAAGCUGGCAUCUCUUCAAUAACAUUUCCCUCUUCCCAGUAAUCUUUUCCCUUACCUAAGACAUGUUAAACAGCUUUUACAUUUAAAAAAAGAGGAGACUUUAUAAUUCUACUCAACAAGUAUUACCUAUCCCAAGACGUAUAUUUCUAAGGGCAAGGAAGACUCCAAGAGGAGACCCAACUGCAAAGAAAGUGUCAACCUGAUACAGUUAAAAGUUAGGCUGACACAUUUUGCAUUGUGGUUCGAAUGAGAUACAAAAAAUAUUAAUUAUCGCAGACCUUGAACUCGAGCUUUCGGUAUUUGAUAUAAGGAGUAAAGCUAGAAGGUGCAGUGGCAUCUUUAGUUGGCGCCUUCUCGUUGAUGUGCUGUUCAGGUAUCAAAGAUGUCUUGGUUUUUUCUGUUGAUAACACCAUUUCAUCUCGUACCAAACAGGACUUGAAAUAUGGGUAAGAUAAAAGAAAAUCGAGGUUCAGAAAUAAUACCAUCGGUUAUUCUGGCAUUUUCUGAUUUUUUUUUAGUUGUAACACGUUUUUUGUUUCGGCUACCUAACUAAAUUUCCAGUAAAGCUAGAAGGUGCAGUGGCAUCUUUAGUUGGCGCCUUCUCGUUGAUGUGCUGUUCAGGUAUCAAAGAUGUCUUGGUUUUUUCUGUUGAUAACACCAUUUCAUCUCGUACCAAACAGGACUUGAAAUAUGGGUAAGAUAAAAGAAAAUCGAGGUUCAGAAAUAAUACCAUCGGUUAUUCUGGCAUUUUCUGAUUGCAGUUGCGCUACUUUUGACCUCAAUGAUUUAACCUGCGAAUAAAAUCAUUCCACCGAUACGCAAACAAACUGAUCAACAACUUCAACAGAAAAACACAAACCUAAGGAAGUAUGAGAAGCUGUGAACACGAAUGAAAGCUUGCAAGAAUAUAAACUAGGUAAUCUGAACUAAGAAGUUGGAUGUGUCGAUGUUUACCUCUUCCCGUAAUAACUUGAUCAUCUCGUCGUUAUUGGAAUUUUCACAUUUUUUCUCCCAUGAUUGUUCUGGAGAACAGGAUGAAGAAUCAGGCGUUCUACAGUCAGCUCCAUCUGGUCCAUCCUGUGAGGAAAUAGCACUACUAGAAUCAUCAUGAUGGUCAUCUUCCUGGCUCUCUCUUUUUCCCAAACCCACGAUGUCCACUACAGAAUCAGAGACCAACGAAGGACCUUCUUGAAAGACAUCUUGAUGCUCCAACAACGUUGUUUUUUUAUCCAUCAUGUCAUUAUCUUCACCUGUGAUUUCCUCGGUGUUAUUCAACUGGUUAGAUUUAUCUGGCUCAAUUUUUGAUGAUCGAUGCGAACUACAAGGUUCAUCAGCGCUAGCUUGAAUUGGAGGAGAUUCUUCAUCUGGAAAGAAUUUCUUGUAUACUGCAUCCAUUGGAAAUGGGGAUGACAAAUUGUGCUGAUGACAUAAGAUGUCAUAGGAGAGAACACUCCCCAGAGAAUGUCCAUAUAUGGAAAUCUGUAUAAUAAUGUCCAUGAACAGAACAUGAGUUUUUUUAAUUUAAUGGAAGCUUACACUUGUCACAGAUUGAUGAAAUGCAAUAGACUUAUAACCAGAUAGGCACCUUUCCAUCAUAGUCCGGGUUUCUCUUUAUAAAUUUCAGAUACAGUUUAUUGAGCUGGUUUGAGACCUGAAAGAUGUAAACAAGCACAGAUUAUAAUGAUGCAGAAGAUGAUAGUAACAAUGUCUAAUAAGCUAUUAGGCUGUUCAAAAAUUCUAAAACUAAAUCACAAACUAGAUUCAGUUUGGCACUACUAAAACAAAAAGAGUAUCAAAGUUGGGAAAUUGCAAUACCGAAUCAAUAAUAGCCUGACAAUAAAUGGGGCUCAUGUAGUAUAGCACAUCAUGAACAGUUGCACUUAGCAUCUCUCGCAAACGCCGUACACCGUCUAAAGUACAUUUAUCAACAGCAGCUUCACCACUUAGCUUUAAGCCCUUCCUCCACUACACAUAAAAUAUAGAAAGAAAGAAUAUAUGAAGUAAAAUCAUACUAUACAAAGAUAAACCCGAAAGAAGGAUAUAUAUAGAGCUACCUGGCAUGGGAUGAAAAGGACUCUUUGAGUGCCGAGCUGAUGAGAGGUUAGAUGACGUUCCCCUAAACCUGCUGUGAUUUGACGGAAGUUUCCAACGUCGUCAACAAGAUUAGACUUUUCACCUUUUUGGCCAAUACCAUGAACCAUGAAUACAAGAUGUCGAACAGGGACCUGGACAUAAUAGCACACAGUAUGAGAAUUUUGAGAUAUUCUGAAAAUACUUAGACAACAGAGAUCAGAUGCUCUAUAUGCAAUUCACUGGAAACGAGUAUACUAAGACAUACUUGUGAACAAUAGUCAUCCAUUUCUUCCUCCUUUUGUUGGCGUAGUUCUUCCUGAACAGAAGCAAAAUAAAUAUGAUUUCAAUUACAGGAGCUCUUAAUCAGCAACACAAAAAAAUAAAGCUUACUCAGUGAACUUUCACAAUUUCUAAUGAGACCUUAGAAAAGAAAUGUGAGAAUAAGUUGCAAAAUAUUUGUAAGAACCUGUGUAGGUUUAGGAGAGUAGGAGCCGGCAUAACCGCGUCUCAACUUAAUUCCAUUCCCAGUAUAGCCAACAAUGCCAGAGAACCCAGAGGGAUCAACAUUAAGCCAAGCUUCCCAUGUAUUAUCCUCCCCGGUGAAGAGAGCAUGAAGUCCCUACAUUAACAACUUGGGAUCAUAUCAUCUAUGCAAUCCUUCAACUGAAAAAAAAAAAUUACAAUUUUUAUACCCAUGAACUCAAGUACAUACCAGACUGGAACCCUGCAAAUCGACACGAGCUGCAAAUAACCCAGAGGGUUGAAACCUUCUUCUAUGCCAAACCUGCGUGCCAAAACAAAAACCCAAAAAUGUAUUUAUAUUAACAACAUUCAGGAAUUCUCAACAAAAAGGAAAAAGCAGCCACUGUUUCUAGGCCAUAAAAUAAAAACGUAUUGCACAGAAAGAUAGCUAACCUUGUUACGAUAAGAAACCUCCAACUGUUCAGCAACAGUUUCUGGAAUUGGAAGCCAGUCGAGGCCACCUUUAAGAGCAAACCAGUGGCCUCUAAGCACGCGCCGGUUAUCACCAUUCCAGUACACGGGAAAGCAAUGCCUCCUCACCAAGUCCACCUGAAGCAUUCCAAUUCCUUGGUGAGAAACAUUGAUUUGAUACAAGGACACUAACGGGUCAACAAUGUUAAAUUUAUAAGAAAAUUCUAUCUUUAAACCUCUACGGUUUUACCUCGUAUAGGCCACCCUUAACAGGUACACCAACCCUCUCCUCUUCAACUGCAUAUAGAGUAGAGGACACAGAAGCUUCUGAAAGAGUUUCAGUUGGCUGCUUAUUUGAUUUAUUUUUAGGAUUAAGUUGUGGUAUAGGUCCUUGGCUGCACUCUGCAUACUCUUUCCACCAGAGAGACAACAACUCAUCUUCUCUCUAAAGCACAAAUUUUAAACAAAAAUGGUUACAUAUCACAGUUUCAUUCCAAAACUUGAAGCAAAGAACAACAUGUAGAGAAGAAGAAGAAGAACCUGGAGGAAAGAAGCCUCAAUGGCAAGAGAAUCCCUCAUCCCAAAACGGAAGUACUCACUCUUUCCUACUACGUCAGUGCGAGGUACUGAAGCAGCUAACUCUGCACAAAACAAAAUAGAGAAAAAAGCAUCAAUCUCUUAUUCUCAGUGAUCAACUAUGCCCACCAUNNNNNNNNNNNUCCCAAAAUGGAAGUACUCACUCUGUCCUACUACAUCAGUGCCAGGUACUGACGCAGCUAACUCUGCAGAAUAAAUAAAUAAAUAAAUAAAUAAGAUAAAAACUUUUAUGCACACAUAAACAAUGGAAGGCAAAGAAAAGACUGACCGUGUUCAGCCAAAGGAACCUUACAGAAGUACCAGCGAACAUCACUCCCAUCUGAAGGACUUGUGGUCUGAGCGAGAUACUUCUGCCUGCCACGGCAUUGCUCGAUUACGUCUUCUAACCUGGCGAUGUUGGAAGGAGGGUUCUUCAGCAAAUCCGGAGAGGUUGUAUUAACCGCAGGGGUGCGCUCUGUAUCUUCCAUCUCAUCAGAAGAAAAAAACCCUAAAAUCACUAGUCAGGAUCAACAAGAAAGUCUCUGACUGAUUUCGAGAAAUUCUAUCAUAAGAUCGUACCGAAUGAAUAGCGAUCGAUUAUCUUUGACGAAUCACGUGAAGAACUGGCAAGAGAAGGAAGGUUUAGAAUUAAUUCAAAACGAAAAAGGCUGUUUGAAAAGAAAGAAAAAGAAACUAAUAAAAAAGGAGUGACAGCUGGGAAAAUCGAAUUGAAGGUUUGUUUUUGCAAAGAAGACCCCCAAACUUUGCUUAAGCGGGUUGCGCCCACUGUCAUCUCUCAACAAUUGCCACGUGGAUGCCAUGUCAGCAUUCCGCUGCCAAACCCCAUUUAGCUCUACGGGUUUCGAUUUAAGGCCAAGCUCGUUCUUAAACAAAUGUGGCUUAUCAAGUACCAAACGGGUAUGGAGACAUAUAUACAGAAAACACAUAGUGGCUCAUUCUUUAAUAUACUGAGUUCAUGUGAUAAUUAAUGAAUUAUUAAGGGACAAAGUAUGUAGGUCAGAAAUCUCAGUUUAUAUUAAAAAGUUAAUCAAGGUUUACAAGUGCGAGACGAGUUCGAUAUUCGAAUAUAGCUCGCUACCUAAGUAAAUGUUUUGAAACCCCAAAAAUCUCCAUAUAUAUAUAUUUUUCGAACAUUUAUAUUGUUGAACUGUUUUGAUAUUCUAUAUUAUGGAUUUCAAUUUCUUAGCAAACCAACCUUCUCAGCUCUUUAAGGAUUUUACGAAAAUAUCACGGUUUGCAAUUUAACCUUGUAAGAACCGUUCUUCGAACAAGGCUAAUUAAAACGAUCCGAAAAAGAAAUCAAGUACUGAGAACAAAUGUACAAAAUGCUCAAAGAGCUUUAUUUAAACAGAAAUGGAGAUAGCUUAUUAAAGCUUUAUUGAACAAGAAAGUAAAGAGAAGAAGGAAGCUGAGAUUGUCUGCAAGAGUUAAAUGUUUAUAAAACUGAUAUUCAUAAAGAUGAGAGUUUGGCUGCUAGAAACGCAGCCUUGGUUACAUUGCAAAGUGACCUUACACAGAUAUUUAUAUCAACUCAAUAUGCUAGAAAACCUAGAUACAAUGAGCUUAGGUAAUGGGCUUCCGGUCUUUAUUUGGGCCUUGCUAAUACUCCCCCGCAAACUUAGCGUGGAUGGAGCAGCUACGCUGAGUUUGAAGGCACAGAUGGAGAUGGCUUUAGAUGAGCAUAAGUAGAUGAAGUAGGAUGCUUGAGAUGUUGGCAAAUGGUUCUACUCACCAUUGUAGACAAACAUUAGUGUGAGAUCUAUUCAGACCUAUACUUGGAGAGUAUCACAUGGCUUCACUCAGAGGUUUCUCUUGAACUUGGAGAGCUUAGUUGAUCUCACUCAGAGGUAUAAUUGUGGCCUAUUUGUCUCACUAUGAAUCUAGGUUUACUUAAACCAUUUCAUUCUUCUAAUCUGUCUCAUGAAGAACUCUCUUUCCACACCUACCAAAUACAACUAUACUCACUCUCUGCUUCAUUAUCACUAGUCACUAUCAUCUUUUAUCUCUCUGUGACAUUGUACCAAACACUUGGUGCGCAUCAAAAACAGAGACUUUCUUCCAUAAACCCUUUUUUUUUUUUUUUUUUUUUUUUACAGAAAAUCAAACCUAGCGUAAGCAUUCUAUUCCAGAUUCCAAGCCUAUAAUCUAAACCAGCCAGCAUAAAUCACCAAACGACCACACAUGCAUCACUUCUCCUUAAUCUACCAAACGACCAUUCACUUGUUCUGUCUCAGGAAGAAGGACAGAUACAUACCAUUGAUAAACAUAUUUGUGUGAUGACUUCCUCCUUCAGUUCACGUGUGAUUUCGUCGUUGAUUACGGUUUCAUCACGGUUCGUACAGAGGAACGCUUUCGUAGCCGCUGAGUUUUGUCCAUGGAGUCCGACAUAAGCGGGUUGGGUUUGAAGACAUGACUGUUUCUUUCUCACGUUGUAUCUCUGGCCCAUCUGGCCCAAUACCCUUUCUUCUUCAUACAGACAUCUCGUAGGAAGCAAACGAAAGUCUUGGAAGACUUAAUGGCUCCAUAGAGGUCUUGUAGAUAGUCUGAAGCUCAAGUAGAAGAUAUAACACCAAGAUCUACUCCCUGAUGCUCUGAUACCAUGAGAACAAAUGUACAAAAUGCUCAAAGAGCUUUAUUUAAACAGAAAUGGAGAUAGCUUAUUAAAGCUUUAUUGAACAAGAAAGUAAAGAGAAGAAGGAAGCUGAGAUUGUCUGCAAGAGUUAAAUGUUUAUAAAACUGAUAUUCAUAAAGAUGAGAGUUUGGCUGCUAGAAACGCAGCCUUGGUUACAUUGCAAAGUGACCUUACACAGAUAUUUAUAUCAACUCAAUAUGCUAGAAAACCUAGAUACAAUGAGCUUAGGUAAUGGGCUUGCGGUCUUUAUUUGGGCCUUGCUAAUAAGUACGUCAUGGCGAAGAUUUUCACUACAUCUUUUUUUAAGAAUACAAUUUUGAAAUCAGACUCCACAUGUAACUGUUAAUCUUGGUUAAAUAGCUUAUCUGAUAGGUUAAGAUCAAUGAAGAUCAAAAUGAUAGCAAUCAAAAUCAAACUCCCAAAGCUAAAGUUAAUUCGUUAGACAUCAUUUUAUUUUUAUAUAUUAUCAAGUAAAAGAAACAAAAGCAAUAAACUCAGAACACACAUAAGCCCUUGUUUCUUACCCAUUAGUCAACCCAAUGUCCUCCACUAAACCUCUCAAUAAACUUAGCAAAAUCUUAAUGAAAAUUAAAGCUAAUAUAUACUCCUUCUAUAAUUAUCCGUUUUAAAAUUUCCACAUAUAUUAAAAAUACAUUAAAUUUUGACUAUAUUUGUAAGUAACUAUUUUCAUAUUUUUAGCUAAUAGAAUUUUAUUUAUUUAUUUAUUUUUUAAAUCUACAACUUACAAUUAUUUUGUAUAAAAAAAUCUAUUGCAAUUGUAAAAAUGGCUUUUUGCAACAAUUGUUUUCUAAGAUAUAAUUUUUUGAAAUAGAAAGACUAUCAAUAACUGUUUUAAUCACCAGGUAACCUUAACUCCUGCCGUUUCAGUAUUCUUUUUCUUUUGUUUUCGUGUGUUUUUAUAAACUCUUGCAAACUUUCACCCACUCCAUGAAAGCUAGUGCAUGGUUCAUUUGUAUUUGAAUAAUUAAUGCAGUUUAACGAAUGCUAUUGACCAAUAAUCCAUUUAGGUAUAUCUGUAUACUACCUACUGUAUACUCAAAAUCAAAAUAUUUAAAUGUCAUUAAUAAAAUUUAUUAAUUUCUUAUAAAAAUAAAGAUAUUUUUGAGAAAACUCCAAUUUUCAUUUAUGGUAUAAUUUACGAAUAAUAGUAUUGAUUCUUAAUUUUUCUCGUAUUUUAGAAACCAAAAAUAAAUGGCCACACCAGUUAUAGUCCAAAAAUCAUUCAAGUGAAGCCAGACCGACGAAAUUGACUGGUUAUUUAUUACUUAUUUUUAGUUAAAAAGACUUAUCAUGUGAAAUAGACUGAAUUUUCUAAAAGUUAUAUCAUAUGAUUACCUCACGUUGAAAAGGAUCUUCGGCAAAUAGACCAAAGAAAAUGAAGACAAAUUUAUUUUUUAUUGUCCAAUUAUAUCUGUCAUUAAAAUUAUAAUAAACUUUCAUAAAUGGGCAAAUCUCCAAAAUAGCACUUUUCUAAGUUUAUAUCACAAAAAUAGCACGUAAAAACUAAAAUGACCAAAAUAGCAUUUUAUCUUUUAAAAAUUUUAAAUUUUUUUAUUUUUCAAAAUUUGAAAUCUUAUUCCCAAAACCUCACUUCUCAACUCUAAACCCUAAAACCUAAACUCUAAAUCCUAAACCCUAAAUUAUAAACCAUAAACACCACUCCUUGAAUGCUAUUUUUGUGACUUUUAGCCUUGAAUGCUAGUUUGGGAACAAAAACUUGAUUUAAUGCUAUUUUGGUCUUUUUCUCUUCAUAAAUACACUCGAGCUAAAUAAACAAAACAAGACAACCGAGGAUAACAAAGAAAUAAAUAAAGGCAUUUUAAUCGAGAAAAAUUUGAAUUGAAUCUAAAUUUUUUUAUCUAAUAAAUUAUAAUUCCUUUUAUUUUUUUUUUGUCAAUCCUUUUGUUUUAAAAAAAUUAUAAGUAGAAAUGUUUGAGAAUAUUGAGUGUAGUUAGAGAAAUAUUUGAACUGAACUUAAAAUAUUGAUUUAGUAAUUAAUAUUCCUUUUAUUUCUUUUUAUAUAUAUAAGUAGAAGUAGAAAUGCUAAACCGACUCUGUUUUUUUUUUUUGGUAAAUAAUCAGCCGACUGUGUUUAGAAAAAAAUUAGUAAAUGAGUAGGAAAAUAAAGACCACUCAUAAAGAAAAGAAAGUGUUGAACCGAAAGAGUUGAGUAGCUUCAUCUUUCAUCUCCACUAUAAUUUAUAUUCCAUUGUCGUUACCUUUUGGUGUUUUGCCGACUGUUACCUGUAAAAGGAGUUAAGGAUCCAUGUCCAAAACUGCCGACUCUCUCUCUCUCUCUCUCUAAUUCAGAAACUCCAACUACCCCUCUUUUGAUUUGGCUUUCUCUCUCGAUCUAGUGAAAAAACCGACUUGAGCAAGGAGUAAAAAAAAAACAAAGAGCGCGACUUUUCAGCCAUGGAAGCCAUAAGAAAGCAAGCGGCAAAGCUCAGAGAGCAAGUUGCUAGGCAACAGCAAGUGGGUUUCUUUCCCUUUUUACUUUUUUUUUGUGUUCUUAAUUUAUUCAGGAGACAAAUCUGGAAAAAAAUGAUUAUGUGGGUUUCAAUAAAGGUGGAAUCUUGGAAGUGCUCAUGUUUUAUUUUUAAUAGUCUUAGGGGGCAGAAGAUAGGAUUGACUGACGUAUUGAAUUGGUAGACUUUUGCUUGUUUUAGAAUCAAGAUUACGUUAUCUUUUCAGACAAGAUUUGUGUAGGGUUUUUCUGUCUUGUAUAAUGUUCCGGUUAUUGUUCAGGCGGUGUUGAAGCAUUUAGGGCAUGUUAACGCGGAUGCUGUGGUUGUUGAUGAAGAAGAGCUUCAUUGUCAUCAGAAACUCCAAGAACUAUACAGCUCCACCAAGGCUGCAAAGGUAAAAAUGAUAAUCUUUAGUAUUUUUCAAGGGAGAUUUUUUUUUUUUUUUUCUUAAAGAAAUCUAAUUAGUUUGUUAUGUUCACAGCGUUUGCAAAGGAACAUUGUUCGUGGGCUAGAAGGGUUCAUUGCGACAGGCACGAAAGUUGUAGAGAUAGGUGAGUUCUUGUUUCUUACUCUGGUCUCAUUUAUAUACUUCUUGGGAUCAGAUUUAGGAAUGUUGUAUCCGUAAUAGGGUUGAAGUUUGCUGAAGAUUUUAAGAAAUAUGGAGAUGAGAAUCCCGAUGCUAACACUCCUCUCUCAAGAGUUUCACAUCACUUUGGGACCUCUUACAAGUCGGUGGAGGAUGGCAGGGAAACUCUACUUGGAGUUCUUAGUGAGCAGGUACAUCUUUUGGAACAUUUCCUUUUCAAUUAUAUAGUUUCAUUUUUUAAUAAAGCUUCAGGAUUUGAUUUGGUUAGGUUUGUGAGCCAAUUCGUACAAUGAUAUAUAGUGCGCCUUUGGAGGAUGCAAGGCAUUUAGUGAAUCAUUACGACAGGUUGAGGCAAGAAGUCGAAGCACAGGUAAAUAGUCUCUUUUUUUUGGGUCAAUUUGUAAAUUUUAAAAAACCAUUUAUUGUCUUGAAUAGGCGACUGAUGUACUGAGGAGAAGAUCAAAGUUGAAGGAAUCUGAUGUUUCUGAAGAGGCUUACAUGAAGCUUAAGAACUCUGAGUCGAGAUUGGCUGAUCUCAAAUCAAGCAUGAAAACACUUGGAAAAGAAGCUACUAAGGCUAUGUUAGAAGUGGACAAUCAGCAGCAGAGCGUAACUUAUCAGCGCCUCCGUACCCUGGUAAAAUCUCCACUUGAUGAUUGUUUGUUUUACUGGUUGGUCCCUGGAUUGGAUAUGAAAAUGAAAUUUACCAACUGCAGGUUGAAGCUGAGAUAUCAUAUCAUCGUAAUGCUCUUGAUAUCCUUGAUAAGCUACAUUCUGAGGUCAGUAACUCUCUCUCUCUAUGAUAAACUACUUGAGAUAAUGAAUAGAACAUACUGAUUUUGGAUGUCUUCCAUGUUCUCAGAUGAUUGCUGAGGAAGAAGCUAUAGAAUCAUCACCAAAGUCUCUACCUCUACCUUUACAUUUGGAGGAUACUGUUUCACAUCCCCAAGCCAGUCACAGUGGAGAGAUCAAAUCAAACCACCAAGGAGAAACCAAGCAUACUACUCCCCAUGAAGAAGUAACCAAACCCAAUCCAAAGGAAGACAUGGAGUCUAGUCCCGAAGUAGAAAUUAAAUCCAAACCUCAGAAAGAAAUCAAGUCUUCUGGUCCACAGGAAGAUACCAAAACCUCCAAUGGAUCUGAUGAUCAUCACAGUCAUCAGCAACUUCUCAGUCAAAAUGAUUCCUACUUUCUUGCAAAGGUAAUACUCUUUUCGAAACAGUUCUUCCGAACUCGGUCAACAACAAGAGUUAUGUUUUCUUGUUUUUUUUUGGGACAGGUUGUGCACCCGUUUGAUGCUCAAGCGCCAGGAGAACUGAGUCUAGCGGUUGAUGAUUAUGUCAUCGUGCGACAGGUACACCCUUUCCUAAACAAUGCAAAACAGAGAAAGGUCGGUCUAAUGAUUCUGGUUGUGUUUCAGGUGGCUGGGACAGGGUGGUCGGAAGGAGAAUACAAGGGGAAAGCCGGAUGGUUUCCGUCGGCGUACGUGGAGAAACAAGAGAAAGCUCCUGCGAGCAAGAUUGUGGAAGCAAACCUUAACCAGCAAUGAUCUCACCCUCGAUAAUGUAUGAUAUGUUUGAUGUUUCCACGAGUACAUACGUAUGAUCAUUAUGUGUGUUGUUUCUUCCUUGUUUAUGUAUCAUCACAAGUCUUACUACUCUUCUUGGAGUCGUUUUCUCCUAUCUUAACGUUUGUUUGAUGGGUUCUCUGUUUCUUCUGUAAUAUUUACUCUCAAAAUGAUAAUGAUAUCUUCUUCCUUCUUAAUUUGGUUUUUGUCUUCGUAUCUCUUCUUGUUUUUCUUACCGCGCCUUAGAUCAUCUAAGUUAGAUGUAACCAGUUCCAGAUAUGGUUUGAAUUAUCUCUGGGUUUAAUAACCGAACCAAAUUUUGGGUUUUUGAUUCAGAAUCAGAUUCGGUUUUUUGCUCGAAAAGCUUUUUUUUUUCGGUUCAGUUCAAUAGCCGGUUAAGUUAGUUUUCAAAAUAAAUUUGUUUUGCCAAACUCUCGAACAUAAAUAACCAAGUAACCGAAUUGAACUGAAAUUUUGUAUUCAGUAACACCCCCAAUAAGUUUAUAACAAGUUCAAACCAAAAUCUAAUCAAAAUCGAAUCCAACCGAACCGAAUCAUUUUCGUUUUAGGUGAUGAUUGUUUAUAUAGUUUUUGGAUUUUAGUUUUUGGUUUUUAGAUUUUGGUUUUUAGUUUUUAGAUUUUGGUUUUUAGUCUUUGGUUUUUGAUUUUGCUGUAGAUAUUAGAUUUUCUAAAAACUUGAAUGGUAACAUUAGAUUUUGGUUUUUGUUUUUAAAAGUAAAAUAAAUUAUUAAAAAUAUUUAUUUUGAAAACCGUGAAAAUACAAAUGUUAUUAUUAUCACUAAAAAUAAACAAACUUAUAUUAAUAUUUUAUUUCAAAAAUAUAUUAUUAAACAAAAACUAAUAGCUAAAUUUUAAAAUACAUUUAAUUUUAUAUCUUGAGAAAAAUAUACAAUUAACUAAACUUUAAAACAAACUAUUAAAUUUAAGUUGUAUUUAAAAAAUAUGGUCAAACUAAUAGAAUUUAUGCAACUUAAAUAUUGCAACAUAAAUAGUAAUAACUGAAUUUUCAAAUUACAUGUCUAAAGUGUUGAUUAAUAAGUUGGACUAUUAUUCAUUUAUUUUUUUGAUAUUAGUUAGUUUCAGUUAUGUCACUAUCUAUUAAAUAAAACUGUAAUAAAGCAAAAAAAUAAAAAAGUCAUCGUACAACAUUUUUACAAAACUGAAAAAUGAUAGAUUUUGGGUUUUGUGUACAAAUGGAUAGUUUUUUCAAAAACUAGUUUCCCUAAACUUUAGGUAAUCCAUUUUCUCAAAAUUUUGAUUGGUUAAAAAAGUAGUUUUUGAAAAACAAAAACCAAAAACUAGAGGCCUAGUUUGAAUAAUCUAGAGGUGACGAUGGGUCCUGUACAAACUCCAUCACUCAUAGCAUACAACAAGAUGCUCAAAUCUUUAGCCGACACUAAAACCUUCACCAAAGUCUUGGCUCUGUUCUCUGAACUGCGACGAAACGCCUUGUAUCCGGACAAUUUCACUUUACCGAUUGUGCUCAAAUCAAUCGGACGCUUGAGGAACGUUUUAGAAGGUGAGAAACUCCAUGGCUACGCUGUGAAAUCUGGGCUUAAGCUCGAUCCCUACGUGUGCAACUCACUUAUGGGAAUGUAUGCUGCGUUGGGGAAGAUGGAGAUCACUCACAAGGUGUUCGACGAAAUGCCUGAACGAGAUGUUGUUUCUUGGAACGGCUUGAUUUCUAGCUACGUUGGGCACGGGAGGUUUGAUGAUGCCGUUGCUGUUUUUAAGCGGAUGAGUAAAGAGAGUAACUUGAAGCCUGAUGAGAGUACCAUCGUGAGCACUCUCUCGGCUUGUUCUUCUUUGAAGAAUUUGGAAGUUGGUGAAGGGAUUCACAGAUAUGUUGUUGGCACUGAGUUUGAAACGAGUGUUAAGAUUGGGAAUGCGUUGGUGGAUUUGUUCUGUAAAUGCGGGUGUCUAGAUAAGGCCAGAGCUGUUUUCGAUUCGAUGAAAGGGAAAAAUGUCAAGUGUUGGACUAGUAUGGUCUCUGGGUAUGUUAGUAACGGUAGGAUCGAUGAGGGUAGAGAGUUGUUUGAGAGAAGUCCUGCGAAAGAUGUUGUUCUGUGGACAGCUAUGAUGAAUGGGUAUGUUCAGUUUAACCGGUUUGACGAAGCACUCGAGCUGUUCAGGUGCAUGCAAAGCCAAGGUGUUAGCCCUGAUAACUUCGUGCUCGUCUCUCUCUUGAAAGGCUGUGCGCAGACGGGAGCUCUAGAGCAAGGGAAGUGGAUCCAUGGGUACAUAUGUGAGAACGGAGUUAGAGUAGAUAAAGUAGUUGGUACUGCUCUUGUGGACAUGUAUGCUAAAUGUGGGUGCAUAGAGACAGCUCUAGAGGUUUUCUAUGAAACUAAAGAGAGAGACACUGCUUCUUGGACAUCGCUUAUCUACGGUCUUGCCAUGAACGGGAUGUCAAGGAGAGCGAUGGACUUGUACUACGACAUGGAAAGGGUUGGCGUCAGAUUAGAUGAUAUAACCUUUGUCGCGGUUUUAACAGCCUGUAAUCACGGUGGAUUUGUAGGAGAAGGACGUAGAGUUUUCUAUUCGAUGGUCCAGCCUAAAACAGAGCACUAUAGCUGUAUGAUUGAUCUACUAUGUAGAGCUGGUAGUUUAGAUGAAGCAGAGGAAUUGAUAGAUAAGAUGAGAAAUGAAAGCAAUGAAACUUUGGUUCCUGUAUACUGCUCUUUGCUAAGCGCUGCUCGGAACUAUGGAAAUUUGGAGGUAGCAGAACGGGUAGCUGAGAAGCUGAAGGAAGUGGAAGUUAGUGAUUCAAGUGCUCAUACUCUGCUCGCAAGUGUAUACGCAUCUGCAAAUAGAUGGCAAGAUGUGACGAAUGUGAGAAGGAGAAUGAAAGAUUUGGGAAUCAGAAAGUUUCCUGGAUGCAGCUCUGUGGAGAUUGAUGGGGUGCCUCAUGAAUUCAUUGUUGGAGAUAAAUCAUCAUCAUCAUCAUCAUCAUCAUCUCACCCAAAAAUGGAUGAGAUUAAUACAAUGCUUGCAUCAAACUACAAAUUGGAUGUUGAGUUUGGAACAUGAAGUAAUUGAAAGUUAACACUUUUUUGGUGUUAGAUAACUUCUUAGUCAACCUAUAGCAAAAGCUGAUCUUUCACAAUAUUGAAAAGGGAUCUCAUUAGCAUAUACCCAACCAACAACGUUAAGGCCUUUCUCAAUGAAAGAAGGGCAUCAAAUGGUCGUUUCCCAUUCAAAAACGAGAACCCCAAAACUGUAUAUGUGAUGCGAGUUUGGUCUACCGCUUUAAUAGAUUCUGAUGAUCCCAUUCCUAUGUGUAUAUUCAAGUAAGAAACAAACUCCACAUCACAAAGGGAAAUAACUACUUUUUAUAGAAAAAAAAAAUCAGAUUACGAUUCUUGUGAAGUUCAAGAACAAGUGUACGUACUUAAAUUCAUACAUUAGCUAUAGGCCAAGCCAAACCGCACUAAACCGGUCGAGGUUAUCUUCAUAAAUAGCUCGAUUAUCUCCGCCAGUAAACUCUUUACAAUCCGUUACAGAGUGGCCUCGACUCGGAAACUGUAGCAGGUGAGGAGGAGGAUCAUGGAGUUGUAAAUGAAGAUGAAGAGAGAAGAUGUAAAGCUUACAAAGCUAAAGUGUAUUCUCUGACUGUGCCGUUAAAUGUUCUGAGCAAUUUUCAUCAUCAUUUGCAUCUUAGCUUAUAUAGUUGAAUUCAGGAGUUCAUGAGCUCAGUCACAAGGGAAGAGAGUAAGGUUAAAGACCAGGUGUCUACAUUUUGUUCGAAGCCUAGUAGUAAAAGAAACAAGGGUUCUGCUUCAACUGCAUCAGCAGAUCGGUGAUUCUUGUCGCAAUUAAGGAGAAGCUGAUUGAGCCAAUGAAAGGGAUAGAAGAUCUAGUCUAGUAUAAAGGCUUGAAUGAUAAAUGGAAGGCGAGUCUUAAAAUCAGUGGUUUAACAUAUGAACAUCAGUUUAAAAGUACAGGACAUUUAAACUACUCCAAGAUUAAGAAAACUCAAAAAAAAAAGUGGAAAAAAGAAUCAUUGGUAUGAUAAUCACUUGGAAAAUAAGGUGCAAGUGUAUAUCGAUUAAGCAUCCCUUAAACGCCAAUUCGUAGUACAUAGUUAAUGCAUAAAGAAUGGUGUAUUACCGGUUUGCCGACGACCUGAAAUUUUUCCAAACCGGAUUCAUCAAGCUUCUUCUUCUUCGCUGCUCUCUAACAAAACAACAUUCUUCUGUGUCUUAGCUCUUUUACUUGAUCUGCUUUUACAUGUAUCUUCCUUUGUUCCAUCUUCAACAAGUUGUUCAGAGACCGUAUCAUGUCUCAUCACUUCUAGAAUCUUGUCACCGUACUUGUCUGUUUUCAGUUUUCCUAUUAUGCUCUCCAACUGCAAAAAUUCAACCAAUAAAGCAGCUUUAACAGAGAGGAUUUGAUUAUAUAUACAAAGACCAAAGAAAAUCGGGGUUAUGUAAAAAAAAAAGAUAGCUCACCUCUUGUAAUGAAUCUGGUUUUUGGGAACUUAUCAACCCAAUCUGCUGAGUUGAGAGGACAGUGUGAGGGAGCAUGCUUCCAUGAGCUGCAGAUAUCUCUUUCCUUAGCUCGUCAAGCUUGGAUUCUAAUCCAGAAAAUGAACUACUUCUUUUCGAUUUCUUGUUUAUUUGUCUGCUUGAGGUUUCCGUUUUGAUCGUCUUUCUUCCUGUUCCAGAUCACAUGUAGGACAAGUUUUCUUUCAGGAGUUUUAUCUAUGAGUGCCGAGCGACCAAGUAAUGACCAAAACAUUAAUAUAUUCUUCUAAGACUGUUUUUUUAUGACUUCUAUUCAGAUCCUGAAGCCUAUAGAUGAAGGCAAAUUCAUUACAACUCCUUACCUUGCAACAAUUGGUUUGCCAACGGUCCCGUUGUUACAUAAGCGUUUGUCGAGUAUGGUGUGUGCUGGAAUUCUUCUUUCUGCACAAAAACAGAACAAAACUCAGAUACAGCUGUCUUGAGCUGGCUUAUCAUGUGUCAGAUACAAUCUGACAGAAAACAUGGACAACGAUCUUACCAAUACCGAGUCAACAAUCAGUUUUAUCACGAGAUGUUCUAUCUCUUCUCUCUUUAGCUCAGCACCUAGCCGAUCAACAACAACCAAAAAAAAUCAUAGAGCGAGAGAUUAAGGCAUUAAAUAUCGUUUGCAAUUCAAAGUAAUGAAAUGAAACUAACUUAGAUCCUUAUGCUUAGUUCUCAGUUUGUCACCCAGCUGCAACAUUGUCACUCUUUGAUCCUUAGCUUGCAUUUCUUGCACCAUAGAAACCACGAGCUUAGCUAGGUCUGCAAAAUGUCGUGACCCCAAAAACUCAUCAUGAUAUCAUUCACAUAUUGGCAGAUACUUGCUUAUAAAAUUACUAGAGAAAAACUUUUGGCAGCAAAAAAACAAAGGUUUCAAGCUUAUUUCAAACAAGAAUGAUGUCCAAAGAAACUACAUGCGAAUGUAAGUGGGACAUACAUACCCGAUACAUCAACUUCCUUGACCUCACUUGACAAGGCACAGUUGUCGCACAUUCCUAACAUAAUGCAGAAUAACGAUCAUCACAUAUCAAUGGACGUUGUACCAAUUCUAUCAAUAGUGGCCAGCUAUAAACAAGAAUACCGUUGCAAUCUUGUGACGGCUCUCCAAAAUGACGGAAAAAAGCACUUCGACGACAUUUUGUUUUCGACUGCAACAAGGGAAUUCAGAAACGAUAGUUCAUAAGAUAUCAUACAUUUUAGAACAUUUCAAAAUCACGACCCUUAAAGCCACCAAAAGAAAACAAUUCAAGUCACUCCAGAGCGGCCUCGUUAUCAAGUUUUCUCCAGAUAUUACAUGAAUAACGAUAAUGCAAUCUUCAAGAAGUAAGAAGUGAAACUGGGUACCUGACAGUAUCGUACUAUAUCGUAGAGAUUCUGCAGACCAGAAUACUCGUAGAAGACCAUGGAACUCUGUUGUACAAGAAACAAAAGCAUCAAUGCAAUUUUAGAAAUGUUUUUAUCACAAAUAAGCAGGUUAGAGUAAAUUGAUGCUUACCUGCCUGGGAACAUCACCCGAACGGAAAAAGAGGACGCACUCAGAUGGGAGGCCAUCACGACCAGCACGACCACUCUCCUGCAGUAUAAAGUAAUGGUGAUAAGAAGCAACCUCAUAACCACAUCUAGUUUUAGUGGACAAGUGACUAGAACCUGAUAGUAAGUCUCCAUUGAUUUGCUUAAACUGUGGUGGAUAACAAACCUGACUACAAAAAUGCCCCCAUGUAUCAGUUGGAAAAGGAAAUAAAAUCCGUGAUUUACAAAAUGUGAAGGACGGUGAUCAAAGCUUAGCACUACUAACCAUCAGGUUUGUUGAUUCCCAUGCCGAAGGCAACCUGCCAAGCAAUAAUAAGAGUUGAUAGGUGUACAUCACAAAAAUAAUCGAAUGAUAAGAGGAGGAAUAUACAUACUGUUCCAACAAUGACCUGCAACUUGUUCUUACUCCAUCUGUGAACAUAAAAGAACAACCAUAAUUAGGCAACGCUGCAAAUUGCACAUCACUAACUGAAUCAUUAAGCCCAGAGUCAUGCUUCAUCAGAGCUGGACGACCUUACCGCAUAUGAACUUUUUCUCGCAUAUUUACAUCCAUUUCUGCGUGGUAAUAAUCAGCAGAUAUCCCUCUUUCUCGUAGUUCUCCUGCAAUCUAUCACCAUUUAUUAUAAGUGAAAUAUAAAAGCUUUCCUCCCCAAUCCAAGGUUCAUAAUAUUAACAAUGAUGGUGAGGUCAGAACAUAUGAUGAUGGGUCAAUUGUAGUUGCAAACCUGUUCACACUCCUUCCGAGAGAAACAAUACACUAUUCCAGAUUCAUUGUUAGAAUAUGAUUCUCGUAUGAACUCUGCGAUCUCAUCAACCACAGCUUUACCAACCAGCGACUUUUCUCGCACCUGCAAGACAAUUUAUUGCUCAAGUUAAAGCCUACAAACUAUCAACAGCAUGAGAAUCGUCUACUAAAAAAAUUACUAAAAGAGUACCGAGUAAAAGAGAUUUGGCCUGUUAACACUGCUAACAAAUUUGACGCAUUUAGGAAUAUGCAGCAUCUCUAUCAGAUCAUUUUGGACCUUCUGUGUAGCAGUUGCCUGCAUCAGAGACAUAGUAAAAAAUGAAAUAUUCAACCUUCCAAAACAUAAUAUAUAUAUAUAUAUGAAAGGUGGGAGAGAUCAACUUAGAAUAAAAUUGUUACAUUCUGAUAAGCAUAGUAAGGUGGAACAAGCUCCCAGUGUUGACUGAUUUAAACUCUCUCUCAGGAAUGUAAAGAGGGCUGAGAAAGAAUGCAGCAAAUGAAAAGAAGAAAAAGAACGUACGGUUAAAGCCACCAUGGGAACUUUGGGAAACUGAGUUUUAAGAAUGCUCAAGUUCUUGUAAUCAGGCCGAAAAUCGUGACCCCACUGACUACAACAAUGAGCCUCCUGCAAAUAAAGUAGGAAAUUAAACAAUCAAAUAUUGGUUACAAAGUAAGAAAUUAAAAGCAGGUUAGGACUUACAUCAAUUGAAAUAAGAGAGAGGCGACCAGCAUUGUGACACUUUUCAAGCUUCGACAUGAAUCUUUUACUCUUUGAUACCUUUUCAGGUGUCACAUAAAGUAUCUUGAGGUCAUCUUCACCCUUUUCAAGUGCCUUGUACACAAACUUCUCAUUCUCCUUGCCAGAAGUAGAAGUCAGCAUGUAAGCUGAAAUCCCUAGAGCCGCCAAACCCAUAACCUGAACCAAUCAUUAACAAUAAGUAAACUAAACACUUGUAAUCACUCAAUAUAUAAAGAAGUAGUUUGAAGUUAAUAGUUGUGUACCUGAUCCUGAAUGAGUGAAAGUAAAGGGCUGACAACAAGAGUUGUGCCACCACGAAGUAUAGCAGGAAGCUGAUAGCAAAGACUCUUCCCACCACCUGCUGCCAUGAUCACCAGAACAUCCCUACCAGCCAUUAUAGCGUUAACUAUCUGUCGUGUCAUCCAAGGAAACAGGAUUGAAACGUCAUCAUUGUGUUGCUUUCUUGAAAGACAUAAAGCAAAUGCAGAAGCAAAUGCAAAAGCAACUUACUUCUCUCUGGUUAGCUCUGUAUUUGGAUAUGCCAAAAAUGUUAAACCUAAUGUCAUCAGCGCGUGAGUCCCACUCGAAUGACUCGGACCAAUUCUCCACAGCACUCGAGCCAUCAGGACAAGAAGGUGCGACAGGUGUUACUGAAGCUGAAACUGCUUUUAACAAUGUCUUAAGCUCAGACUUUCUCUCGUACAACCUGUCUUGAUGCUCUAUCAAAGCACUUAUCUGACCUAUAACAAUAAUUCGAAUUCAAAAUCAGAAGCAACCUGAGAUGUAAAUUGGAAGAAGGGACAAGUGUAAACCUUGAACAUCGUUGAUCUCGAGCUCUAAGCUUUGAAGCUCGUCCUGAAUCGCUUCACUUUCCAUUGGUUCACCGGCUUAAUCAACGGUGUGUGUGUUUUUUACCCUUCCGUCGUCGGCGUCGCGGCUCAUUAGAAAGAGGUGAAGCAGAAUAUAUUGGGCCUUAUAAGGGCUGACGUUUUAUAAUGGGCUUUUAAUGGCCCAGUAUGUUCUUGGAUCAUUCGUUUUUUCGGAUAUUUUUUUUUUUUUAACAUCUGAUUAAUUAUGCUAUUAUAACAAUGAGAAAUAUUACAUAGACGAUUUUACAGCCGACAAUUCUACCAUCAUAUGAGAAUGUAAGUUUGACUGCAUCGCUCCAAGCCGCUCUAUGAAAUCCAUGUUCUAUGAUACGCCCUUGCACUAUGAUGAAGACCUCUUACAACUUUUUUUUCUCUAUGAUCUGUAUAAUUUGCGUUUUCUGGGAUUUGAACCCCAGACUUCCUGCUGUAAAAGCAUUAAUGAACCUUUAGUCAAACUAAUGAACUAAAGAGGCUUCCACAAUUUUUUCGGGUCAUUUUGUGUGUGUGUGUGUGUUUUUUUUUUGGGGGAAAAUUUUUGUGGGGGGGGGGGGGGCAUGUGAAUUAACUCUGGUUAAUUUAGGUGAAUCAAAGGUAUUUUUUUGGUACAUAGUCCAAAUUGAAGGACGUUAGAUCUAUUAAAAUUGAAGUACAUGUUGGAAUUACCCUCAAUUAGCUCUAAGUAUUACAAGUCUAUGCCACUGUCCUAAACCAUGUUUAACCACUACAAAAAAAUACAACUAUAGCGACGAAAAUUAACGAGAAAAUUUAAUCUUCGUAAAUUUAUGUCGACUUUACGAGUAUCGUACGAGGAAAUUUAAAAUCAACGUUAGUUCGUCGUAAAAUAUCGACGAAAUGAUUUCCUCGUAAAAACGACGUAACAUAACGUGGCUUUUACGAGGAAAAAUGGUUUCCUCGUAAACUCAACGUAACAAUAGCGUCUACUUUACGAGGAAAUAUUUUACGUUUACUUAACGAUAAAAUUUCGAGUUCACCAAUUUUGUAGUUGUAACACGUUUUUUUGUUUCGGCUACCUAACUAAAUUUCGUCGUAAAUUUCAACUACCAGAUUCAAAAAUUUCCUAUAAAUAUGGACAUUUGAACAUCAUUUUAAAUACACCAACAAGAAAAAAUAAAUAAAAAAAAGUGAAAGAAAAAAAAAUGUCGGGCUCCGGAAAUAUUUUCGAGAUACGGAGGUGGAUGUAUAACAGGAGAGUGACAAAAGAAUACCUCGAAGGGCUGGAGACAUUUAUGCAUCAAGCAGAUUCCACACCGCUCGCCCAAGAAAGCGGUAAGAUGUUAUGUCCUUGUCGGAAAUGCAAUAAUUUGAAAUUGGCAAAUCGUGAAAAUGUUUGGAAGCAUUUAAUAAAUAGAGGUUUCACGCCAAAUUAUUAUAUCUGAUUUCAACAUGGAGAAGGUUAUAAUUAUGAGAAUUAAGCUAGUAGUAGUAAUAGCAAUUUUAAGGAAGAACCGAUUGAUCAUCAUUUGCAUAAUGAACAUAGUUAUCAUCAGAAGGAGCAGAUGGUAGAUUAUGAUAGGGUUCAUGAUAUGGUAGCUGAUGCAUACGUAGCGGAUGAUGAAGAAGAAGAACCUAACAUAGAUGCAAAAACGUUUUAUGAAAUGUUAGAUGCUGCGAAUCAGCCACUUUACAGUGGUUGUAGAGAAGGUCUCUUUAAAUUAUCGUUGGCUGCUAGAAUGAUGAAUAUUAAAACUAAUCAUAAUAUACCUGAAAGUUCCAUGAAUGAAUGGACAUGUGAAUAAAAUCAAAUCAUAACUCUGGUUAAUUUAGGUGAAUCAAAGGUAUUUUUUGGUACAUAGUCCAAGUCGAAGGACGUUAGAUCUAUUAAAACUGAAGUACAUGAUGGAAUUACCCUCAAUUAGCUCUAAGUAUUACAAGUCUAUGCCACUGUCCUAAACCAUGUUUAACCACUACAAAAGAACACAACUAUAGCGACAAAAAUUAACGAGAAAAUUUAAUCUUCGUAAAUUUAUGUCGACUUUACGAGUAUCGUACGAGGAAAUUUAAAAUCAACGUUAGUUCGUCGUAAAAUAUCGACGAAACGAUUUUCUCGUAAAAACGACGUAACAUAACGUGGUUUUUACUAGGAAAAAUGGUUUCCUCGUAAACUCAACGUAACAAUAGCGUCUACUUUACGAGGAAAUAUUUUACGUUUACUUAACGAUAAAAUUUCGAGUUCACCAAUUUUGUAGUUGUAACACGUUUUUUUGUUUCGGCUACCUAACUAAAUUUCGUCGUAAAUUUCAACUACCAGAUUCAAAAAUUUCCUAUAAAUAUGGACAUUUGAACAUCAUUUUAAAUACACCAACAAGAAAAAAAAUAAAAAAAAAGUGAAAGAAAAAAAAUGUCGGGCUCCGGAAAUAUUUUCGAGAUGCAGAGGUGGAUGUAUAUGCAUAGAGAUGCUAACAGGAGAGUGACGAAAGAAUACCUCGAAGGGCUGGAGACAUUUAUGCAUCAAGCAGAUUCCACACCGCUCGCCUAAGAAAGCGGUAAGAUGUUCUGUCCUUGUCGGAAAUGCAAUAAUUUGAAAUUGGCAAAUCGUGAAAAUGUUUGGAAGCAUUUAAUAAAUAGAGGUUUCACGCCAAAUUAUUAUAUCUGAUUUCAACAUGGAGAAGGUUAUAAUUAUGAGAAUUAAGCUAGUAGUAGUAAUAGCAAUUUUAAGGAAGAACCGAUUGAUCAUCAUUUGCAUAAUGAACAUAGUUAUCAUCAGAAGGAGCAGAUGGUAGAUUAUGAUAGGGUUCAUGAUAUGGUAGCUGAUGCAUACGUAGCGGAUGAUGAAGAAGAAGAACCUAACAUAGAUGCAAAAACGUUUUAUGAAAUGUUAGAUGCUGCGAAUCAGCCACUUUACAGUGGUUGUAGAGAAGGUCUCUUUAAAUUAUCGUUGGCUGCUAGAAUGAUGAAUAUUAAAACUAAUCAUAAUAUACCUGAAAGUUCCAUGAAUGAAUGGACAUGUGAAUAAAAUCAAAUCAUAACUCUGGUUAAUUUAGGUGAAUCAAAGGUAUUUUUUGGUACAUAGUCCAAGUCGAAGGACGUUAGAUCUAUUAAAACUGAAGUACAUGAUGGAAUUACCCUCAAUUAGCUCUAAGUAUUACAAGUCUAUGCCACUGUCCUAAACCAUGUUUAACCACUACAAAAGAACACAACUAUAGCGACAAAAAUUAACGAGAAAAUUUAAUCUUCGUAAAUUUAUGUCGACUUUACGAGUAUCGUACGAGGAAAUUUAAAAUCAACGUUAGUUCGUCGUAAAAUAUCGACGAAACGAUUUUCUCGUAAAAACGACGUAACAUAACGUGGUUUUUACUAGGAAAAAUGGUUUCCUCGUAAACUCAACGUAACAAUAGCGUCUACUUUACGAGGAAAUAUUUUACGUUUACUUAACGAUAAAAUUUCGAGUUCACCAAUUUUGUAGUUGUAACACGUUUUUUUGUUUCGGCUACCUAACUAAAUUUCGUCGUAAAUUUCAACUACCAGAUUCAAAAAUUUCCUAUAAAUAUGGACAUUUGAACAUCAUUUUAAAUACACCAACAAGAAAAAAAAUAAAAAAAAAGUGAAAGAAAAAAAAUGUCGGGCUCCGGAAAUAUUUUCGAGAUGCAGAGGUGGAUGUAUAUGCAUAGAGAUGCUAACAGGAGAGUGACGAAAGAAUACCUCGAAGGGCUGGAGACAUUUAUGCAUCAAGCAGAUUCCACACCGCUCGCCUAAGAAAGCGGUAAGAUGUUCUGUCAUUGUCGGAAAUGCAAUAAUUUGAAAUUGGCAAAUCGUGAAAAUGUUUGGAAGCAUUUAAUAAAUAGAGGUUUCACGCCAAAUUAUUAUAUCUGGUUUCAACAUGGAGAAGGUUAUAAUUAUGAGAAUUAAGCUAGUAGUAGUAAUAGCAAUUUUCAGGAAGAACCGAUUGAUCAUCAUUUGCAUAAUGAACAUAGUUAUCAUCAGAAGGAGCAGAUGGUAGAUUAUGAUAGAGUUCAUGAUAUGGUAGCUGAUGCAUACGUAGCACAUGAUGAAGAUGAAGAACCUAACAUAGAUGCAAAAAAGUUUUAUGAAAUGUUAGAUGCUGCGAAUUAGCCACUUUACAGUGGUUGUAGAAAAGGUCUCUUUAAAUUAUCGUUGGCUGCUAGAAUGAUGAAUAUUAAAACUAAUCACAAUAUACCUGAAAGUUCCAUGAAUGAAUGGGCAUGUGAAUAAAAUCAAAUCAUAACUCUGGUUAAUUUAGGUGAAUCAAAUGUAUUUUUUGGUACAAUAGUCCAAGUCGAAGGACGUUAGAUCUCUUAAAACUGAAGUACAUGUUGGAAUUACCCUCAAUUAGCUCCAAGUAUUACAAGUCUAUGCCAUUGUCCUAAACCAUGUUUAACCACUACAAAAAAAACAACUAUAGCGACAAAAAUUAACGAGAAAAUUUAAUCUUCGUAAAUUUAUGUCGACUUUAAGAGUAUCGUACGAGGAAAUUUAAAAUCAACGUUAGUUCGAUGUAAAAUAUCGACGAAACGAUUUCCUCGUAAAAACGACGUAACAUAACGUGGUUUUUACGAGGAAAAAUGGUUUCCUCGUAAACUCAACGUAACAAUAGCGUCUACUUUACGAGGAAAUAUUUUACGUUUACUUAACGACAAAAUUUCGAGUUCACCAAUUUUUUUAGUUGUAACACGUUUUUUGUUUCGGCUACCUAACUAAAUUUCGUCGUAAAUUUCAACUACCAGAUUCAAAAAUUUCCUAUAAAUAUGGACGUUUGAACAUCAUUUUAAAUAUACCAACAAGAAAAAAAUAAAAAAAGUGAAAGAAAAAAAAAUGUCGGGCUCCGGAAAUAUUUUCGAGAUGCGGAAGUGGAUGUAUAUGCACAGAGAUGCUAACAGGAGAGUGACGAAAGAAUACCUCGAAGGGCUGGAGACAUUUAUGCAUCAAGCAGAUUCCACACCGCUCACCCAAGAAAGCGGUAAGAUGUUCUGGCCUUGUCGGAAAUGCAAUAAUUCGAAAUUGGCAAAUCGUGAAAAUGUUUGGAAGCAUUUAAUAAAUAGAGGUUUCACGCCAAAUUAUUAUAUCUGGUUUCAACAUGGAAAAGGUUAUAAUUAUGAGAAUUAAGCUAGUAGUAGUAAUAGCAAUUUUCAGGAAGAACCGAUUGAUCAUCAUUUGCAUAAUGAAUAUAGUUAUCAUGAGAAGGAGCAGAUGGUAGAUUAUGAUAGGGUUCAUGAUAUGGUAGCUGAUGCAUAUGUAGCGCAUGAUGAAGAUGAAGAACCUAACAUAGAUGCAAAAACGUUUUAUGAAAUGUUAGAUGCUGCGAAUCAGCUACUUUACAGUGGUUGUAGAGAAGGUCUCUUUAAAUUAUCGUUGGCUGCUAGAAUGAUGAAUAUUAAAACUAUUCACAAUAUACAUGAAAGUUCCAUGAAUGAAUGGGUAGACUUGUUUAAAAAGUAUUUGCCGGAAGACACUGUGUCUGCUGAUUCUUAUUAUGAGAUUCAGAAACUAGUUUAUAGUCUUGGGUUGCCUUGGGAGAUGAUAGACAUUUGCAUCGACAAUUGCAUGAUCUACCGGAGAGAUGAUGAGAAGUUAAAAAAAUGUUAAUUCUACAAGAAGCCACGAUUCAAGCCGCAAGGACGAGUACGUACAAUGGCAUUUUCUUACCGUACACUGCUCCAUUAUAAACUUAUAACCUUUGUAUGGUAAACCUAAACCAUAUAAUUCUCAUAUAUUCAGCCAACGAAAUUCAACAAAGAACAUAUCAUUAGUUUGUAACUCUUCAGAUUACAAUGUGAGCAUAAAAACUUAAAAAAAAAAAAACACUUUUACCACUUGAAUACUCUUUCAUGAUAACCUUGAUUAUUAUUAUUAUAUUAAUAUUUUAACCAAAAUAUGGCUAAUAAUAAACUUUUUGUAUACUGUUUUAUGAAGUUUAUAAAUAUAUAAAAAUGAUCACACAUUAUUACUCUUUCUAUAGUUUCAACAAUUAGUCACCAUAAAUAAUUAUUUAUAAUAUUAUAUAGAUUUUAACUGUUAAUAGACUUAUGUUUUUUUCUUUGGCAAGUGAUAUUAAUUAGUUAAAGAUUUACAUUUUAUUUUUAUAUCUAAUUAAAAUAAAUAAAAAAUGAUUGACCAAUCAAAUUAUAACAAUUUUGUAAGAGUUCACAUAUGAUUGACACGUAAGCAAAAAUCACUACAGUGACUUCUCAAUUAAUAUAUAGUAAAAUAUCAACUAACCAAAUAUUCAUUAACUAGAAAAAUUAAAGCAAUAUUUAUUAAUUUUUGAAAGAUACGUGUAUAUCUAUCUAUCUAUCUUAUUAAAACUGAAGUACAAAAAUAAAUUAACCCCUUAAUUAACAAUUUAAUUAUGAUUAAUGCCACCAGAAAUUAAUUAAUCAUAAUUUUCAGCAUUAAUUAAAAUUAAGAAAAUCUUGAUUUAAAAAUAUAAAAUAAAUUAAUUUUAUAUAUGGUCAACAUUAACGAUUAUUUCAAAUGACAACAUAUCUUAACAAAAUAUUUUAUAAAUUAAAUAAUUAAUUAGUUUUACCUGUAAUUAAUUAUANNNNNNNNNNNNNNNNNNNNNNNNNNNNNNNNNNNNNNNNNNNNNNNNNNNNNNNNNNNNNNNNNNNNNNNNNNNNNNNNNNNNNNNNNNNNNNNNNNNNNNNNNNNNNNNNNNNNNNNNNNNNNNNNNNNNNNNNNNNNNNNNNNNNNNNNNNNNNNNNNNNNNNNNNNNNNNNNNNNNNNNNNNNNNNNNNNNNNNNNNNNNNNNNNNNNNNNNNNNNNNNNNNNNNNNNNNNNNNNNNNNNNNNNNNNNNNNNNNNNNNNNNNNNNNNNNNNNNNNNNNNNNNNNNNNNNNNNNNNNNNNNNNNNNNNNNNNNNNNNNNNNNNNNNNNNNNNNNNNNNNNNNNNNNNNNNNNNNNNNNNNNNNNNNNNNNNNNNNNNNNNNNNNNNNNNNNNNNNNNNNNNNNNNNNNNNNNNNNNNNUAGUUUUACCUGUAAUUAAUUAUAUAUAUAUAUAUAUAUAUAUAUUUAAAACAUAUAGUAUGAUAUAAAUUAUUUUUUCCAUUACUUAAAGAUUAAAACUUAUCAAUUUUACUGUCCAGAACUAAGUUGUCAUUUAUAUUAUAAAUGAUAAAUAAUUUCAAAAAUAUAUCAAUUAUGUCUUUAAAAAUACAUUCAAUACAAAACAAUAUUCAAUAGUUCUAGGGGUGGGCGUUCGGGUAUCGAUUUGAGUUUGGUUCGGAUCUAUUUGGGUUUCAGUUUUUUGGGGUUAAAUAUUUCAGUCUCAUUUGGGUAUUUAUAAAUUCCGGUUCAAGUUUAGUUCGGAUUCGGACAACCCGUUUAAAUUAUUUUAAAAUUUUUUAAAUCAUUUUAUACUUUAAAUUUCUCAAAAUUGAUAAUCAAUAUAAUAUAUUACAUAUAAAUUUGAAUAAAAUACCUAAACUUAACAUAUGAAUUAGUUUGGCUUUGAAUGUUUGGAUAGAGAAUCAAUAGAUAUUUCUCAGUUUUUUGGUUUUUGAGUAAAUUUUAGCUAUUUUAGAUAUUUAUAUUUUAUUAUUUAUAUAUAUAUAUUAAGUAUUUUUGAAAACUUUAAAAUAUUUUAUGUACUUUAGAUAUUUUUAAUAUAUUAAAUUUAAAUAUAAUUAAUAUAUUUAAGUAUAUAAAUCUAUUUCAGAUAUAUUCGAGGUACUCGAAAUACUUCGGUUCGGAUCUGAUUUAGUUCUGAUUCUCUGGAUACCAAAAUUUAAACCCGUUUUGAUAUGUAAAUUUUGGUUCGGGUUCGGUACUACUUUUUCGGAUUGGGUACGGUUCGGGUCUUUAAAUUCAGGUUUUUUGCGUAGCCAUAUUCAAUAAUAUAAAAGAUAGUAAGAUUAAUUAUAAAUUAAAAACUAUUUAAACAGUUACAAAAUUGAUUACAAAAUAUUAUUGGUUACUAAUUUUUGAUAAAGUUAAAAGUUAUAUUAAAAUAUAAAAAUAUCAUCUAUUUUGAAACAUCAAAAACUCCAUUAUAUACACAGAGCCGUCCUUGGAGGUAAGCGGGAGAAGCGGCUGCUUCCAGCCGUCAUUAAUUUAUCAAGGUUAUCAGCCACAUUUUAAAAAUAUUUAUCCAAAAAUGGUGAAAUUUGAGCUAUGUGAAGGUGAGGGUUCGAAACAAUAUGCAGUGACAUUUUUUUAAGUAGUUUCUUUUUUAAAUAAUUAAACAUAAAUAGGCCAUUUUUUCUUAGUUCUGCUUCAAGCCCGGUAAAUAUGCGGACCGGCUCUGAUUAUACAUCAUCUAUUUUGAAACGGAAGAAGUAUAUAAUAAUAAAAUAAAACAACAUCCAAUACAAAUAAUAAUCCAAUGCUAAUAUAACAAUAUUUAUGUACAAUAAAUUGUAUUUUUUAAAAAUUAAAACAAAUACUCUCACCGGAUCAAAAUCUUGACAAAGAAAACAUAUUCAUUGAAGGAAGGGGCUUUUCUAAAUAAUGAACAUAUUCAUUGACAAAGAAAACAUAUUCAUUGUUAUCUCUUAUAUACUAAAUCACAAGUCACUACACCAAUAAUAUUUUGCCACAUAGAUCAAGAAAUAAAAGAGUUUAAAUACAAAAACAAAAAUGAAAAAAUGCAAAACAAAAAUAUUUACGCAAGAGACAAAAAUCAAAAAUAUUAUCAUUCCAUUUUGCGGAGCAGUUCCUCUUUCUAAACUCCAUGAUCACCACUCACUCUCCUAAUAACUAUCUCUAUUUCCUUUAAAUACUUUUUGAAGUUAUCCAAUGACCGAUUGUUAACUGACACAUUUUGUCUCUUUCUCUAAUCACAAAUCUGAUGUGGGUAUGGAUUGAUUCUUCCCAAAGGUAAAUAGUUAAUUUGUGUCAUUUUUAUGCUCUUGCUUCAUCUAUUUUCUUCUACGGCCUUUAAUCAAGUGUCACUCUUCGCAUUCAAGGUUUUCUUCAAAAGAUCAAGCUUAUAUUCUGAAAAUAUGAAAAAGUUACUUUCUAUUUUGCUCCCUUUCAAAAAUCUCUAUUCUGGUUUUUUCUAACGUUUAUAUGCUUGAAGAGAUCGUAUCCCAUUACUAAUUAGUAUUGAUUGAUGCAGAAACUGAAAAAUGUAAAAAGAGAGAAACUCCAACGCUUUAUUGAGAAAACUAUCAGCAAACUAAAAUUACAGGUAUAUUAUAGUAUUUACUAACUUUUUUGUCCUAACGAAUGAUCAUAUUUUGCAUGGUUUCCAUGACACUGAUAUACGACAACUUCGUAGAUUUGUUGAAAGGCCAUUUGAAUAGGAAUUAUAUAUUUCUUGGUUUUUUACUAGAAAUGUUGAGAAAAAAAUGAGAACAGAUUCUAAUUCAUAUAACUUUUUAAGUAAAAAACAAUCAUGUUGAUAUUGACUUAUAUAAGUGAGAUUUUAUAUUUUUUGGUUUAUCUAUUACAGUGAUAGGUAACUAAAAUAAUAAUUUGUUUUGAUGUUUUAUAGUUAUUAAGUUUUGAUCAGAUAAUUUAGAAAACAAUGAAAUUGACCCAUGCAUAGCAUGGGAGCUAAUACUAGUAUAUAGUAAAUUAGUAGCAAUAUAUAAGAAAACAACAAUAACUAAAAUAAAAGAAUAGCCGUUUGCUGCAAAAAAAAACUAAAAUAAAAUAAUUGAAGGUCUAUAUAUUUUCAUAAUAUAUAAAAGACUAAAUUUAUUGGAUCCGUAUAUUUCCAAUGAAGUCAAUAUUGCUUUUAGUGAUCCAACUUUUCUAAAACAGACCACAAAUUAAAUUUAUUUUAAUUUUCAUGAGCUUAUUUAUCAAUACCAGAUAAUUUUAUAUUCUUAUAUUUAAAAGUAAACAAAAAUAAUAAUAACAGAGACAAGACACUAGAAUUAUUUUAUAUAACUAAGGUCUGGCUGUAUAACUUUUUUAUUCUUAUAGAUCUUUUUAAUCUAAAAGUUUAGAGUAAUAAAUCCUUUUACUUCGUUUCGAUCCCCUUAAAUUUUACCAACAAGGUAAAAUGAAAAAAAAAAAGUUCAUUUUAUUUUUGAAAAAUGUUUUCUCUUUUGAUGACAAAAAAAAUGUUUAUAUUUUGUGUUUAAUGGCAAUAUUUUCCUCUUCUCUAUAAAAAAUCCAGAAUAACACAAAAAUCCAAAGAUAAUUAUUUAUAUUUUUCUCUUUUUUCCUAACUUUUUUCUCAGUUAUUCUACAUUACUCUACUUAUAUUACUCUCACAUUUCACAAGUUAGACCCAUAGUUUUAAAAUUGAAAAACAUGUCGGGACCAAACAGCUUUAGGACAGCUUUAGAAGCUGCGACCCAUACCGAAUAUAAGUAAUCAAUCCCCCCUGUACCUCAUGGAGUAUAUAAAACAGUAAACGACAAAACUACCUUUUUGCUAACUGCGUCAUCGCUUGUGUCAUUAAUCCUUUCAAACUUAUCUAGAAUAGAUGAAUCUGGAAACUAACAGCGAAGCUUUGUAUAAACCUCUCUCUAACUUGCUCUACCUUCUCUCUACCAAAGUUUCUAAAUCAAAGAAUCUCGUCGGUGACCGGUGGUCUUUCCACCGGUUACCAUCUUUUUUAUUUUGUUUUUUGUUGUGAAUACUUUCGAUCUAUGUAUCGAACUUGCUUCGCGUAGGCGAUCUUGUUUUCGUUAGGCGAUUUUGGUGUGCUAAGCUUUAAUCAAAACAGACCUGAUUUUCACUCGUAAUGUUUCUCUAUUUUGAAUUAAAGCUGAAUAAAGUUUUCAAGUUAAACUUCAUCUCUCGUAUUUCAACUUAUCUAUUCCUGUUUGUCUCUAAAAUUUUCUUCUUCUUUAUCUGGUCAUGCUUGAUCUUCAAGUUUGAAGAAAUCAAUCUUUGCUUCAUAUGGAUUUGGCAAAGUAUUCGGAUGAUUUGAAGAUUUGAGUUUUUACAAGUGAGCUUUUGGUUUGGUACAGUUUAAGAAAAGACAGAGUUUGUUCUAUAGACAAGUGUUCUGUCAAUAGCUGUGUCCUAAAUCAGAUAAUGCUUCUUGAAGAUGUUCACAUCCAGUGAAGACAGUAAGAGAGUCUCAGAGGCAACAGCGAUUGAGAGACUGAAGCAUACAAAUGGAAUCAAAGUUGGGUUCGAUCUUUGUGUUCCGGAGGAAUCGACUCGUCGGAGUUCAAGUCAGUUACCUUGCCGGAGAAGAGGCAAUCCUUUCCCAUGAGUGACACGUGGAGCCAGUUAAGAGAUGAUGGAGGCACGUAGAUGGACAACUGCCUUACUCUUGUUCAUCCUUAUCAUAUAAUUUAGGGUUUAAUUGGGCUCUGCAUUUGUAAUGGGUUUGAAUUCCAUUUGUAACAAAAAUUGCCCUUUGGGCUUUUAAUAUAAAGGUUGACAAAAAAAAAAAACAGCGAAGCUUUGCAUGAUUUAAUCCCCCAUACCUCAUGGAAUAUAUAAAAGCAGUAAACGACAAAUCUACCUUUUUGCUAACUGCGUCAUCGCUUGCGUCAUUUAAUCCUUUGAAUCUUAGAAUAGAUGAAACUUGAAACUAACAGCGAAGCUUUGCAUGAUUUCAUAACACACGUGAUUGCAUGAUUCUUGUAACCGAUAGACCUCUAAUAGCUCCAAAUUAAAGCGGCGCAGUGAAACAAACGAUGCAGAGCUAGCGAAGAGAAUGGAACAACACAUUGUGUAUAAUGGGAAGUGCCAAACGAAACGAUGGGAAUAAAUAAACAUAUAAAUCAGAAUUUUCAGAGUCGAGAUAAUUUAAUUGUUUGGUCAACAAUACUCUUUUUUUUUGGAUUUUGAGUUCUUACUGAGUUUAGUUUUUCUUGUUAUAAUAUUUAUUUGGCACAGUUCAAAAACUAAUUCAUUUAACUCGUAUUAUAAAACAUAUAUAAGGUGAUUUAAGAAAUAAGCUAAACUGAGUUACUUUAUGUAUAUGUUGUUCAGCAAAUUAGUUCGUUUGGAAGUUGGAACCAAUAGACCCCUUUUUUUACAGCAACCAGUAGACCUUAUAUAUAUAGGCAUAUAGCAUAAUAUAAUAACUUCCUCAGUUUAUUUCUUACCAUCAAAUAGAUAGAAAUAUGCAUGAUAAUAUAUGUUCUUGAACCAGAAAAGUAUUAUGUAUUAUAAUAUUGUGCCAAAUAUUCAAUAGUGACUUAAGCUAAUACUGAAAACUUCCUCGUUUUCACGAUUCAUGUGUAAGGCAGAUUACUAUAUUGAUAUUCUAUAUAUACAUGGUGUCAGUGGCGGAGGGCUUGUUGUGAACUUGUCAGGAGGGUCAUAUGCUCUAUAUGGAAUUUUAUAAAAAGAAAAUUUUAGUUACAUUUAGAAGAUAGUAUAGGGCUUGUUGUGAACUUGUUAGGAGGGUCAUAUGGUCUGUGUGGAAUUUUAUAAAAAGAAAAUUUUAGUUAUAUUUUGAAGAUAGUAUAGCACUCCAUCUCUCAUCCACGCACUACUCACACGACCCAAUACGUACCAAUUGUUUAUUAAUAUUAAAAAUAUCUUUAGUCUUUUUUUUUUUUUUGCCAACUAAAUUUAUUAAUAUUAUUAUAUGGACAAAGUCCAGUUACACACAACCAAGACAAAGGUCCAAUCGAUAAAUUUAACAGGGCCACCAAAAAACAUACAACUAGAAACUAAAUGGGCUAAGCCCACCAAACCAAAGUCUAAGUCGAACAUAUCGACACAUCGCCUACGUGUGUUUAACCUCACAGCGAGGAUAACACGUGCCACCAAACCGCUUUACCUUCUCCAACGCCGGAGAACCACGAUUCACAUCAUCGGAAUCACAUCGGAGACUGCCUCCAUCUUCCACGGUCGUGGUCUUUUCAAAGGAGAGCAUCCAUCGAUCACAUCGAAAUCUCAUCCAGAGUCACCAACCGCUUGAUUACGAACACCCAGAACCUCCAUCUCGUUUUCUUCAUCGCUUUAUCUUCAACGUCAGAGAGUUUCAUCGAUCUAUUCGAGAACUCAUCCAACAGACCAAAGCCGACAAACAGAGGAAACCACAAACCAAAGUAAAAAUCACACCCGAUUCAAAUCGGGACCAAACCCCAACUGAUCAAAAGCCGGCAACGAGGAGCUUUAACAGCCUCCUCCCUCCAGAGUCAUAAGCCGGAGACGACGGAGCUGAGAAAGCCUCCACCUCCCGGAAUCAAAGGGUCAAACUGAUGAAAGGAAAUAAGUUUCCUUUCUUUCCAAAACACAUGCAGAAGAAAAUAAAAAACACAAAGCCGGACCGACGGUGGCUAGGUUAGCCGAGCCCGCCGGCCGGAAACGCAAGUCUCACAAACGGAGUUCUAGUACAUAAGGUUAAAAAAAAAAUAUAUAUAAAAAAAAAAAAUAUCUUUAGUCAAUACGUAGUAUUAGUUUCCGUAAUCAAACGAGGGUUGUGACAACUGACAACUGAUGCACACAAAUUAUAGAGUAUGAAUGGGGAAUGAAUAAAAAGUGGAGGAUCUGUCUCAACUCUCAAGUGGAUGAACCAAUUUUAUAUUCUCGUUCAACAUUUUUUUUUAGUUAGAAUUUAGACUGCUUUUUAAAUUAUUAAAUUAAUAUUGAACUACUAGUGGUUUUAUAACAUGAACAAAAAAUGAAAAACCACUAUCUACAGUAGAUAUGCAACAAAUAUGGAGUGUUUUUUUCCACAGGUAAUACUGUUUUGUAUUUUUUUCUUAUAAAAAUAAUAAUAAGCUUCAAAUUUAUUUAAAUAAUAAUAAUAUAUACAACAACUUACUAAUAUCUUCUUUUAUGUAUAUUUUAAAUAUAGAAGUACAUGCAAUUAAAUAAUGGUAUUUAAAUAAUGUAUAUUUUACGUUUUAAAUUUGUUAUAUUUAUGUCAAUGUUUUAUUUACGUAACACAAUAGUAUUUUCAUUAUGGUUAUUAAAUACAGAUUUACACUAAAUUAAUAAAAAAUGUUAAAUUAUAUAUAAUUUUAUAUAAAUAUAAUCAUAUAAAUAUUUGGACCACUUGGUCCACUUGUGUUUCAUUUUGAAAAUAAUUUAUUUUUAAUUUAAUUUUAAAGUUCAAGACAAUUAUACUACUUUAUAAAACACAUUUUAAAUCAUUCAGAAUAAAAUAAAUAUAUAGUUUUAAAGCUUAAAUAAUUACAUAUGUAUUAAAAUAAGUUUAUGUAAAAUUUGAAUAAAAUUUAUAUUUAUCGAUUUUUAUAAAAUAUUUUUGUAAAAUAAAUACUUUAUUUUAUUUAAAGCUUAUAUAUAUAUAUAUAAAAUAAUUUUCGUUUAUAUUUUGAAGAAAAUUAUUUAAUUAUGGAAAUAAAUUUAAAAUUAUAUAUAUAUAUAUAUAUUAUAUAUAUUAUUUUAAAUUUGUACAGUACUUUAAACUGCUUUUUAUCCACUUUUACCAUUCAAAUAUGGGGAAAUUUUACUUUUACACUUUGUUGGAUACCACUUUUCAACUUUACCAUAAGUGUAAGGACAUUUUCACAAAUACCACUUUCAUUAAUGAGCAAAAGACAAUAAUACCCUUACCUUAUCUUCUUCUCCACCAUCGGUUUCUCUCCCUCUCCCCGAGUCCCCGUCGUCUCUCUCCACCAUCGAGUCACUGUCGUCUCUCUCUCCUUCUGGCGUCUCUCUCUCACCGUCUAGUUUCCGGCGUGUCUCUCUCACCGUCGAUCUCUCUCUCACCGUAGACUUCUGGCGACGAAAUCAAUUCAAAAUCUCCAAGAUGUCGACUCGUAUACGUGAUUCACAACUUGUAUGUCUCUAAUUUCUGUAUUUGUUUGUUCUCUAAUUUCUGUAUUUUUGUUUGAUUCGAUUUUGUGCUUUCUCUUAUCGAAAAAUCAAACAAGGUUCUCUUAGAUAUCUCAUUUAACGAGAUCGAUCUAAGAGAAACUGAUUUGAUAGUGAAACGUUGAGAGUGAAAACAUUGAGUAUUUGAAAAUUUAAAUCUGGUUUUGAAGUCAUAUUAAGAUUGAUCUGAAUGGUUCCGGCUAAGAAAGAGAUUUUCCGAUAGUGAAAACUGCAUAUUAAGGAAGAUAUAAUUUACGAUAGUGAAAACUGAAUAUUAAAGAAUUAUAACCCCUUAUAAAUCUGGGUUUCAUGAGAUUGUUGAUAAAUACAACUCAAUGAUUUAUAAGUAAAGAAAAAAGAUGCAUGAAACAAAAGUCAUAGGUACAAAAGUCACAAAUCAAGAAGCCAUGGCAAACAUGAAGACUAAGUUUAUGGCUUUAUGGGAUGGGUUUUCUACUGAUCGUAAGUUGAAUCCUUCACCUUUCAGAUCACUCUAAAGCAGUCUAGAGCAUGCUCUACUUGGAUAUAGUAGUUUUUAAAUGAGUAUAAUGGUUGCUUUGUAGCAUAUGCGAGGGUGAUGGUACUUGCUGCAACAAACAGACCAUCAGAGUUUGAUGAACCAAUAAUGAGGCGUCUUCCUCAAGCCUUUGAGAUUGGAAUGCCUGAACGUAAGGAGAGAGCUGAGAUAUUGAAAGUGACGCUGAAGGGAGAGAGGGUGGAGCCCGAUAUUGACUACGAUCACUUAGCUCGUCUAUGCGGAGGCUACACCGGAUCAGACAUCUUUGAGCUCUGCAAGAAAGCAGCUUACUUCCCUAUCAGAGAAAUCCUAGAGGAAGAGAGAAAAUGGAGACCAUGUCCUCUAAGUUUCAUAUGAAAAUGUCCAAUGCUGUUGCAUUCACCAAAUUUGCAAGUGUUGAUGUUGUGAGUUGCUAUCAUUUUGUUUGUCAGGUACCUAGGACAUUGUCACAGUUGGAUUUGGAGAAAGUUCUUGCUACGUCGAAGAAGACGCUAGUUGCAGCAGGCGAGUAUUGUGGAUUGAGAUGGUCAAGGGAACCAGAUGAGGUGGAAGCAGCUACUUUGUGUAUUUUUUUUGUUUGAAGAAAUUCAACGAAGGUAGGUUUAGAACAUGUCGAUUUAAGGGAAAGAGUUUCAAUAGUAAACAUUGAAUUUUCGAAAAAUUAUAAACCUUUAUAAAUCUGGGUUCAAGUAAUUUUAGGAUUUUCGUUCCUCUGUUAUCCAAAAAACAAAUAAGGUUGAUUUAGACUUGUCAUUUGAAUAGUUCUAGUUAGGAGAAAGAUUUUCGGAUAGUGAACAUUGCAUUUUAAAGAAUUAUAACCUCUUAUAAAUCUGGGGUUUAGGAUAUUGUCGAUAGUACAACUCAAUGCAAUACAAGGUUUUAUAAAUAAAGGUUGUAAACAGGAGUUGAUCAUAUAUGUCUAUAAAAAACAUAUAAAUGUGUGAAUUUGAAAACUCUCGUGUUUUAUUAUUAUAUAUUCUUUGUAAGGCUGUUAUCGAAAUACAUGAACAUUAUGAUUGGAUAAGGUAUUUUUAGACCGUGAUUAAAAGUUAACAUCAUCUUUUUAUUUUGUCUUACAGUUAGAUAGCAAUGAAUUGCACAUCUUUGAGAUUGCCUCUGAGGAUUUAUGAAGCUGGAACAGAACCAGUAGACAAUUUAAAAGUGAUUAUCCAAUCGGUAUCUUUGUCAAUAAUGUGAAGUGUUUAUAAAAGAUUAUAAAUGUAGUUUUAUAGGAGUUUAUAAAAUUAUAAGUAGAGACUUAUAAAACGUUGUUUAUUCUUUGUUACAUCUUGUGGUUAAUACAGUGUUUGGAUUCCCUGAGGAAUACAAACAUUUCAUGAACCCAACACCUCCUGAUCUUGAUAACAUGGAUCUUAACAGUUCAACAAGGAUAUAAAAUGAAGAAAAGCUAAUGGGAACAAGGAUUUGUGAAUUUACAUUUUGUAACGUAUGAUAUAAGGCAAUAACACAUGAAAGAAGAUAAAAAUGAAGAGCAAAGGAAAGAUAAAGAGCAAAUAAGAGUUUAUAAAUCAUUUAUAAAAGUUUAUAAAACAAUCUGUAAAGUUUAUAAUCUUUUUAUAAAGGUUUAUAAAACAAUUAAUAAAAUCUAUAAACCAUUUAUAAUUGUUUAUAAAAAUGUUAUGAAAGUUUAUAAACAAUUUAUAAGGGAUAUGCAUACAAUUUAUAAGGUUUAUUGGUUUUUGAAUUACUUAGAAAGUCUCUGAAAUUAUUUAUAAGAGGCUAUAACAAUUUAUAAAGACUUGUAAAAUAAUCUUUAUAAGGAUAUAUAAAUAAUUAAUAAGAGUUUAUAAAUCAUUUAUAAAAUUUUAUUAAAAACAAUUUAUAAAUAUUAUAAACCUUUUAUAAAGGUUUACAAAUUAUUUGUAAGAGUCUAUAAACCAUCUAUAAAGGCUUAUAAAACAAUUUAUAAAGUAUAUAAACUAUUUAUAAAUGUUUAUUACAAAAAUUAUAAAAGUUUAUAAAUCAUUUAUAAGGGGUAUGUAUAUAAUUUAUAAGGUUUAUAGAGGUAUAUACAGGUUUAGAAAUCAACUGGAGAUAUUAAAUCAAUUAUAAGAGUCUAUAAAUAUUUAGAAAAGCUUAUUAAACAAGUUAUAAGAGUUAAUAAAAUAAUUUUCUAGGGUUUAUAAAGGUAUGUAAAUAAUUUAUAGGAGUUUAUAAAAUAUUUAUAAAAACAAUUUAUAUGAAUAUGUUCUAAACAACCAACUUCGUCAACUCUUUAAUGUUGUUCAAUUCAGUCUUAGAAUGUGUGUGAGUUUCUCUCUACAACAUUAAUCAUGCAGUUAUUUACUAAAAGUUAAAUUUGUUCCAAUUUUUUUAGACCUUUAUAAAAUAUAAAUCUGGAUUUCAAGAUAUUGUCAAAAGUACAACUCGACGAUUUAUAAGUCUUUAUAAAAAAGUUUUUUAAUAAGAGUUCAAGUAAUUUUAGGAUUUGCUUCCUUCUGUUAUCUAAAAAGCAAAUAAGGCUUAGUUGGACUUGUUAUUUGAAUAAUUCUGGUUAAGAUUAAGAUUUUCGGAUAGUGAACACUGCAUUUUUACAGAAUUAUAAUUCUUUAUAAAUCUGGAUUUCAGGAUAUUGUUAAAAGUACAACUUGACGAUUUAUAAGUCUUUAUAAAGAAGUUUUUAAACAAGAGUUGAUCGCAUAUGUCUAUAAAAACAUAUAAAUGUGUGAACUUGAGAAGUUUUGUGAGGAAUGCUAGGCAGAAUAAGUAUAAGAAACUCAAAAAUGAUUUAUAAACGUUUAUAAACGGAUUUAUAAUGGCUUACAAGCUAAUUUUUCUAAAGUUCCUCAAAAAGACAAUCAAUACAAAAAGGCAUAUCUGGUGAAAGAGCCACGUCCUUCAGCAAAGGAUAUACUGCCUCAACCCUCUCUAUAGACUGUACAGAGACCAUGCUUGUGAUCAGAAUCAAACAAGCUCAUUUCAUGGUUUAGUUUUAUAAAUACUACUACUUACCUUAACUCAUGUGGAUGGAGAAGAGAAUGUGAGAAGCACCAAGAUCU
This 76948-nucleotide long non-coding RNA is filed under the name Brassica napus (rape). RNAcentral describes it as "long non-coding RNA (BNAP_LNC006816)". Lineage: Eukaryota; Viridiplantae; Streptophyta; Magnoliopsida; Brassicales; Brassicaceae. The record is from RNAcentral.